Molecule: long non-coding RNA, 57168 nt
Filed under: Eucalyptus grandis
Lineage: Eukaryota; Viridiplantae; Streptophyta; Magnoliopsida; Myrtales; Myrtaceae
Description: long non-coding RNA (EGRA_LNC002917)
Source: RNAcentral
GCCUAAUAAAACAAUAAUAGGAACUUCACAAUAGCAGAUAAAGACUGUAAUAUGGUUCCAAACAGAGCUCAAUGGCUAAUGAAAAACGUAUGACAUUGUGCAUAAUAAAGCAAGAUUAUUGUUAUUGUCAGCACCCAGAUUGGCUCAGUCUUUCGCCUGUAAAGGGGACUCAACCAGACCGUGUACAACCUACUUCCCAUUGUUUCACUUUCCCUCACUUAUUUUUACUUUAAACCUAGACUUCACCUACUUCUUACAAUAAAUUGCCACCUAUGAAAGAAAGAAAGAAAAGCUAUACCUUUUGGGGAUUGUUGCUCAUUUUGCAGCAUGUAACGGUGAUUACCAGUGGAUUCACUACCAAUCAUCUACAGACGAAACUUAUGAAGAAACACUAAUUCAACUUCUCUCGAACAAAUUCAACGAAGCAUACUUCAAGUUCCCGGGCAAUUGUAGCAUCAUAGAAUCUAAUUCAAAAUCUGAAGUACUACAUCAACUAAUACAAUUCGGAUGUGUCAUGCAUUACCCGAUCUAUAGCAAGGUGCAUGAAGCCCAGAACCUUUGUAGAGAAUUGUUCACCCAAAGCUACAUCACCAGUUUCCAUGGCUUCAACCAGUAGUUGUAGUCUUGUCAUCUCAAACCAUCGGUCUUCAUUGCCAUCGGUUUGCUAGGGACUCUGUUUCAAGAAGGCGAACUACUUCUGUUCAUUGCCUCCAUUGGUAGGCGGUGAUCUUACAUUAGUCAAAGCUUGGUUGUGUCAGAUCGAACAUGACCAUUGAUGAUGCUGAAAGUAGCAUCGGUGGAGUUCACAGUUUGCCGAUGGCAGAGUAUAAAGGAUUUAGCAACAAAAAACAGAAAGACAUUAUACUUGGGUCCAAUACCCAAAAAAAGAAGAUGGGGAGAGAAAAACUAAAAACAAGAUCAGCUGAGUUCACUUACCUACGAAUUGCUUUUCUUAGCAUGUUUCGAUCAUUCUAACAACAAAAGCUGCAAGCCAACACUGCCAUUCUCAUCUCUGCCAAUCGAAUUGGAUGCCAACAUAGUCUGGGUUUGCAUGCCUUGAGGGACAAUAAGCUUAUGAUUUCUCUUUGGUACUAUUUGACCUUUUCCCUCAGCGCACAUUUGACAAUCUUGCAAUUCCUUCUGCAGAUCUGUUAUGAUCGAACUAUCUUCAUGCAUAAGUGAAAUCUUGGCUUCUGAAUUUGUUGAUUCAAGAACAACCUCGUACAGUAAAGCUGGAUCCAUUAACCGAUUGUCUCGAAGCACAACCUUUAAAUCAUCCUCUAAUUGCAUGCAUAUUAUUCGGAAUCCCAACUUUUUCACAUUUCUACCCAUUAUCGUAAUGCUAAAUUCUACAUAACUCCCAUCAAUUUGACCAAAAUCAACUACUCCCCACAGCUCAGAUGGCAUGACAUAUUGAAGCCAGAUACAAUCUGAAUCCAAGAAAAAGGUAUUGUUAAUUGUUACCCUAUAAGUCCGAUAUACACCAUCAACGGAUGCUACGAGAUUAAAAGGCUGUCCCUCUAUCUUUUCAUCAUUUCCGACAGCAACACAGAGAGCAAGUCCAAGAAACUUGUCAUACAAUUCCUUUGAAGCCAUGAAAGAUAUGGUAUCCUCUUCAACAGGAAGAAUCCACUUUGGCAUCUCUCCUCUAGGGAGAGUAAUUAGGUACUGAGGGAUUCGACCAGGACCCUGUUAUAAGGGUAGACCGUUAGAAAGUACCGAGUCUAUUAUCAGCACCCAAAUAGAAAAUUCAAUUUCAAUUUAGUAAGUAAUCCUAGUCAAUUCCACUAUGAAUGAGCACUCUAUGAAUAAGUAGAGAUCCAAAUAAUCCUUUCUUCUUUAAUAUACAAGUCUCAUGUGAUAGAAAUCAUUCCCAUAAAAGUACAAUACCCCUCCAUUACAAUGCAUUUGGCAUCCACUGAUUAUUCAAGCCAGUGACAUAUAUGCAAUAUUUUCCUCGUUCUUGGUAUUGUUAGUCUAAAAUCAAUGCCGUAUACUGAUUAUUUACGCUAAGAUAUAGACUAUAUGGUGCGACAUUUCUCUUUCUUAGUUAACUUUUGUAAUGUGAUGGUUUUCAUUUUAUACCAUCCACAUGAUAACUGAUUUAAAGAACGCCUUUUGAAAUUAAUGCACAUCUAAACAAGAUUAAUUAAUAAAGUUUUUCUUGGCUACAUAAUAACUAUAUUUCUUAUGUAAACUACCAAUUUAUAUAUGAUUAAUUGCUCUGUAAAUUAAUUAUGCCCCUAUGUUUCCUAACUUUAUUUUUUUUAAUUAAAAGUUAACGGAAAAAAAAUAGUAAAUGACAGUUUGUGUAUAACUAUAGAAAUGAUUUUUUUAAGUUAUAGUCUUAAAGAACAUAAAUGUUAUCUAUUUAAUUGACACUCCUUUUAUUUCCUUUAACGAAAUAUAUGCUGAAGGAGGAAAAUGGAGCCAAUGAAUGUGUGACACACGAAAUAGCCACAGCAUACUAUUCUAUCCAACUUUGCAUUAUUGAUAUGCCAGAGGAGAGACGGUCUCCUUUAGUGGAGUUUAGUUGGGUAUUCAAAAAACUCUAGAAUACCGCAUUGAUAUUAAAAAAAAAUUCAUACAUUUUUAUUUUUUAUAAUUUCUCUUGUGCGAAUCCACAUUGAUAUAAAAAGUUUGACCUCACUUCAUAUUUAUUUGCUUUUCUUAAGCCUCCCCUUGCAUUUUCUGCUAUUGCAAUAUACAAGCACACAAAAUCCAGCUUCACAUCGAUGAGAGAGAAAGAGACAGAGACAGAGAGAGACUAACCGGGUAAAGUGGGUAAAUAUCGCCGUUGGUCACCCCUCUACGGAUAAAAUCAUGAAAUGAAGUUACUUCUCCAGUAUUUUGCAUAGAUUCACAAUCAUCCGCCAGAAGACAAAUCAAAAAUGGUGGAAGCUCAGGAAUCUCUUGUAAUUGAUGGCUUCCUCUAACACUCAAAUAGCGCAAAUGAUCACGCUUAUUGAUGGAGGUAGGAAGGUUAGUAAUAUUAUUCCCCCCAAGGAAUAAAAAUCCCAAGAAGGGAAAACAGGAAAGAUUCUCAAGAAACUUUACUUCUGACAAAUUACAUCCAUAAAGUUCCAACCAACGUAAAUUUGGAAGUCCAGUCUUCAUGCAGUGAUCAGCUGAUUCCUCAUACAUUGGAAACCCGAAUAAAUUUGUGCAAAAGUUAACUUCCAAGUGUGCAAGGCUUUGUAACUUAUAAAUGCUAGACGGAAGACUUACCAGGUUCUUGCAAUGAUUUAUAAACAUAUCAUUCAAAGAGACAAGAUUUUCUAUUGAUGUAGGAAGCUCUUUAAUAGCGGUCCCUUGUAAAUGAAGCUUUUUCAGGCCUUCGAGUUUAUGUGGAAUAUCAGGGAAACUUUCAAAUUUUGUACAAUUUUCAAGGUAGAGAGCUUGGAGAUUUUUUGACUUGAGCACAUUUGGAAAAACACUAAGUUCAGGGCACUCGCGUAAAUUCAACACCUGUAGCUUGUCAUGAUAUGCGAUGGACUCGUGGGCCUCUACCAAGUUUUUGCAAUACGGGAGAUUCAAUUGCUCCAGAUUUGGAGUGCAUGAAAUGUCGGGCAUACGAACCAGCGACUCACAAUAACUGAAAGUAAUGUACUUUAAACUUUGGAAGUCCUGAAAAAACAGUGAAAACAAUUAUUGAUAAACAUUCUGAAAGGGACAAAAAAGGAGUGCUUGUAUGAUGAUGUUGCUUCCUUGAAUUUAAACCAUGGGAUUCCCGUUUGAGAAUAGGUUGCUACUAAAUCAUAUCCAGUAUUGAUCUUUCAAGAAAUUACUAUAUUUUAGGUCAUCAACCGUAAAUAUUGAGCAAUUUGUUUAUUUAACGUAGAGGUGAUAUGCUAUGGAGUCCACAAAUAGGUCUAUGCCAUUUGUUGUACAGAGAUGGGGGGAGUCAAUCAUUUGCUCAAACUGGGGAAAUAAUGGUAAUUUAAUACCAGAUGUCAUUCACGUUAUCCAUGGUUUUAUAAUAUUCAUCUUUAAAAAUAUCAUAAUUAAUUUGUAGGGGCUUGGCUUGAUUGAUGAUUAUAAAAUUGGCUACACAACACAUGGGGGACAUUGGGUUUCUCAGGGAAAGGAUACGUCAUAAUUACAUAUCCUUGACUGUUAUAUAAUCUGUAUUGAACUGGUGUAUAUGAAGGUCAUAACACUAUUCAUGCGAAAAGAAGCAAGAAACUUCGGUAGAUCAGGCAACUAGGAAGCAUUAAUAAAUUCAAAUAAAAUUGUGAUAGACAAUUAUUAAAAAAUUUAGAAUUAACACCACUAAAAAUCCCAAAUUAGUACAAAGAAUUAUUCCAAAUUAGUUUUUGUUUCAUAAAAAUCCUAAGCCAAUACCACUAUGACACAGUUACCUCAAAACUUUCUUCUAACAAAAAAAUUUUAAUCUGAUACUCCUAACCCAAAUCUACCUUCCAUUAGCAAACGAAAAUUAGUUUGGGAUAAAAUUGUGCCAUGUGUCAUUCAUGUGGCAAUCACAAAAUUCAAGUGAAGUAUUAGGUGGCGAGGACGCGAAUGUGGACCACAUGACAAAACUAUACCACACGUCACGCCAUGUGAUAACCAUAGAAGCAUAUAGUGAAGUGCCACAUGGCGAGUGCAGAUGUGGGCCACAUGACAAAACUAUUUUACAGGUCAUGCCAUGUGGCAAUCACAAAACUAAAACAAGGUACCAUGUGGCAAGUGUAGGAAUGAAGACUCUGUUAGUUCUGGUUUUAACUAUAAAUCAUAAAUGAAUGGGGAAUAUAAAUACCAUCCUAAUGUAUUUGCAUAAAAUUAAUAAACUUAUUUUUUUUUUUUUCAAGUCAUAAGACAACGAAGCCAACUUUGAAAAACAUUGGAAAGAUGAUAGUGAUUUCAUAUACUCAAUUCAAAUCUGGCUUUGACUUUCUAUUAAGAAACUAGCAGUAUGCCCCUACUGGAUCAUUUAUAUUAAUUUAGUUGUGCACACAUUACACCCAUUAGUGGCAAAGUUCCUCACAAAAUACUCUAUUAUGUCCACUUAGAAGUGUUGCUCCUUAAGAAAUGAUUUUCAAAUGCCUUGUUUUACAGAAUGGUGCAUUCAAACCUUUGACUAGGCUAAUUUUAUUGAUGCUGGACAAAUUCCCAUUGUUUGGUAUGUGAAUUAAAUAAGCCUCUAUCACUUUAUGUUUGCGUGGCCUACCACUCAACCAGCUACUGCUUGAGUGUCUUUACUUCUAUAUUCAUGUCAACGGGUAGGUUUGUCAUAUUUUUGUUUCCCUUUUAUUCAAUCACUAUACAAUUUUCCUGUAAAAUAAAUAUGUUCAUAUGUAAACAAUCGAAAUCAAAUUGCAUUUUGAAUUUCUCCACUAGGUAGAUUUGAUCUGAUUUUGAAAUAUAUCUAUGUGGAUAGUUAGAGAUUUUAGGCUGUGUGUAAACUUUAUCUAUACUAUUAUAUAAGGUAAAGAUGAUAUCCUACUUUAAAAGAUUUCAAGGUUUUUUUUUUUUUUAAUAUUCCUUCCAUCAAUUAUCCUCAAUUACUUAUUUUAAAGAUAUUAUACCAUGGAUAGAUAUGUGAAAUUGAUUAUUUUUAUUUUUUUAUCACUCACAUAUGUCAAUAUGAAAAGUCGAAUUUUUCUAAUGAUGCAAUGACCUUCAUAAAAAAUUAAAAAAUAAAAAACUUCAAAUCUUGAAAUAUCUUUCUCUUUCCACAUAUAGGUAUAAAACUUCUUUGUAUAGUGUAUUUUAUUAACAAAAAUUGUUUCCAUUGAGUAUUUCUAAUAGACUUGUUCACAUUAUUUUUUAAAUGUUGAUUUUGCUGCAGGUAAAAAUAUUUCAAACGCAAGUUGUUAGGGUCAUUUUGAAAGAAAAUAGAAAAGUGGUUUCUAAAACAUAGGAACACCACUUCCUUUUCUAUAUUAGCCCAUAUAAUACAUAAAGUGAAGUAGAUAAUAAAAAGGUUUACGUAGGUAAAUGCUCACCUUAAAUUGUUUUACCACUCCUGUGAUAUUGCCUUCACUCAUAUUAAGUCCCACUAAUUUCUUUGGACCAGAGGAAAAUUCUGGAAUCCAACAAGCACCGUCACAUUCCAACCAUCUUAGCCAAUUAGGAAGAUAUAUAGGACCUUGGAAAGAAUUAUGCACAUUACGCAAAAUGAGCAAUCUCAACCUUCUCAUUUUUGUAAAAGCAUCAGGAUCGAUACAUAUCUCUAUCGGCACAAGUGACUCCAACACUAUGGCUUUUACAACACAAUCUCCCUGUAUACAAGGCACUUUAGGUUAUGCAUGUUUCAUAAUUAGAGUCAAAGAUAAGGAGCAAAAGAUUUAAUCAUAUUCGCAAGUCUUACCAUGUCGCUUGAUAGAACAUUGAGAAUAUCAUCAUACAUCCAUAGUCUGCUGCAUUUCUUGGGAUCAUCUUGACAUUCUUGGUUCACAAUAUCUAUACCCAUUGCUUGAAUCAAGUCAUGCAUUUGCAGUCGGUCGUCCUCAAUGCUUAUCAAGGACCUCUCAAUGAGAAUAUCAAAUCCUACAGCUGUCUCAAAAUCGCAACUGUCGAUAACUUUCUUCACGUAGUUACUAUUCUUUCCCUUAAAGAAGCAAGCAAUGUGGAGAAAAAUCUCUCUCUCAUUUUCCUCUAAUCCAUUAUAACUUAUUUUGAGCACAUCAUUAAUGGUUUUGUCAGGAAUCCUAGAAAGUUUCCGAAGUGUACUUUCCCAUACAUCUUCUCUUCUACCACAUAAGAAGGAACCCAACACUUCAAGUGCUAAAGGAAGGCCUCCGGCAUGAUUUAGAAGACUAUCCACUAGAUCUGUCCUAAUUUCUGAUUUUUGACGUGUUGAAAAAGCAUGGUUACUAAGCAGCUCGCGAGCUUCACUAUUAUCAAGUGCUUUAACUUCGUAAACAUGAUCCUGAUCAAUCCCAUGACAAGUUAGCAAAUGUUUAUCUCUUGUAGCAACAAUGAUCCUACUUCCAUUACCAAACCACUUGCAUUCUCCUGCUAAAGCAUUUAACUGAUGUAAGUCAUCCACAUCAUCAAGGACGAGGAGAACUUUCUUAUGACGAAGUCUAUGUUGUAUCAAAUUAAUACCUCUAUUAACACUAGACACUACUAAUCUUUUUUGUAGUGAUAAAAUCUCGGAUAGUAAUGUUUCUUGCAACUGAACUAAAUCCUUGGAAUCUUUUGAAGCUUCUCGGACAUUUGGCAAAAGACACGAACUCUCAAAUUGUCUAAAAAUAGCAUUGUAUAGAGCUCUUGCUAAAGUUGUCUUCCCUAUGCCUCCUUGUCCCCAUAAUCCCACCAUGACAACAUCAUCAUCAGACUCAAGGUUUAACAUUGAUUUCAGCUUAACCACUCGGGAAUCUAUCCCAACCGGAUGCUUAGCAACAUGCAAAUGUGUUCGGUCUAGGCGAGUGGAAAUCUCCUUCACAAUCCUUUGUAUAAGCUCUGACUCAUCUCUAUCAAAAAUGGAAAAAGAAGUAAGAUUGUUUUAGCAAUUUGAAUAAGCAAAUCAUGAGCAAUCACUAGCCAAAAUGACAAAGGAGUGCAUCACAUUUUCACAUGAUCACAGCAAAAACAAAAUGCAUUCCCACCGAGUGGAGCUCCAUGCCAAUCAAAACAAGUUCAAGGUUCAACUUUUAGUCAUCCAACUAAUUCAUGUUCUUUUGAUUUAUGCAUGAUCAUUUACUUAUUUCACCUUUUGACUGUUAUAUGUGAUUUAUCUACACGCUUAAUCAAAAAGAGUCAUUUAGGACUUUGAAAAGUAGUUAAGAUUUCGAUUGGAAAACUAUUAAAUACCUGAAGCACGAUGUCAUUGCAUGGCUUCUACUCAAUAAUUGUGGACUUUCUUACUCCUUCCAAAGAAAUGGGGCAAGUGCAAUAACAACAUUUAACAUUUUGCCCAUUGGUCCAUCAAGUUUUAAGAUUUAGACUUACAAUCAUGCCUGUGUUGAUUCAUUUAUUAUUACCAUUUUUACAAACAAUCUUUAUAUUUACUUGUAAAGAUUAGUUUCUUUCACAAAAUAUGAAUUCCACUCAACUUACCCAUCGUUCAAAUGCCACCCAGACAAGCUACCGGCCUCGAAAAGAGCUUUCUUCCAUCUCUUCACUUCCUUCGAAUUCUUUCCAAGCUUGAUCUCAUGCUUGGCCAAAGCUCUCCCAUAACUCUCUCUCCCCCCUCUAACUUCUCUUGGGUCCACUUUAUAAAACACCGGUAGCACAGUCAGGUCCUUUUGUUCCUUGCACUCCAUAAUCUUCGCCACCUCUUCCAAGCACCACUGUGAGGAGGCAUAAUCCUCCGAGAAAAUGAUGAUUGCGAUACACGAUUCUUCAAUGGCCUUCAUAAGUGCCCGUGAUAUUUGUUCUCCCCUCCUCAGUUCCUCACUAUCAAUGAAAGUGAAUAUUCCAUUCUGGUCUAAAGCUUUGUAGAGAUGACCAAGGAAGUUGUCGCGCAGGUUUGUGCCUCUGAAACUCAAGAAGACAUCAUAAAUCCCUCGGGAUUUCGAUGAAGAAGCCAUUAGAUUAUGGGGUAUAACAAUUAGCGAUGACUCUUGGUGAUUUAUUCUUAUAAUAGAGGAUAGAGCCUUUCAAAACCAUGACAUACUCUUGAAGGACCCAUCUCAGCAGCUGCUAUAUCCUCACUUGAAACUGACAGGGAAAGACGCGAAAACCAUAUUAGCAUUCCAUCAUCAAUAAUGAUCCGUCAGCUGAUUGCUACACUAAGGAAAAAGAACUCAAGUGUUCAGAUCAAACAUUCUUACCAAGUUAACACUAACCAAUACUAGAACUUGCCACACCACACAUUCAACUUUACAAACCCCUUUUCUCUUGUGAAGUCUAUGUAGGAACAAAUUGUACAGCUAAAGAGUCUAAAAUCUAUGGCCGGACAACUACUCCUUCAGCUUGGUGUGAUGGAACUUGAGCCUACAACUGGCACUGCGGUGAAGUCCAAUGUUGCAAUGGCUUCCAACUCUUAAAUUGCAUCAACAGUGAUAAUCGAACUAGUCAAGUGAGGCAUCAGCAUACCAACCACUUCCUUGGUUCUUCGAUUGCUACAGAACACAUACAUAAUUAAAAGCCAAACAAAACAUCGCGGCUAAGUUCGUUACCACUAGUUACUUUGUUAAAAAUAAAAAAAAAAUAAAAAAUAAAAAACAAAAUGAACAAAGAUCACAGUGAUAAUAAAAAUAUAAUAAAAGACAAUAAUGCAUGAGCAUGGACAUACCACUAGCUAACCCAUCUAAACAGCUAGGCCGUAGCGAAUUCUAGUAGAACAAGAAACUGUAACUAAUGUUGAAUCAAGAAAUUGGCCUCACCCUCAUGUGCUGUGUAAUGCUCUUCAGCAUCACAGGUGAAAGGUGAACCAAAAGGUAGAGCUUUCAAAUGUAUGCUCUAAGGACAAUACAGAGUUAUUCACUUCAAGAGAUGGCACUAUAGAACUACAUGUACAUAGAAAUGCAAGUAAUCACAUCAGACCUCAGCUUAGGAGCCUCAUAACCUGCACAAACAGAUGAACAAACGAUCAAUCAAGCAGCAAUUUCAGGGACGUGAAGAUGGUCUUCCACUUCCACUGCAAAACCUGGGUUGCUCUCAUCUUGCAGUUCAUGAAGCUCCGAGUACUGAGAAUCUAGAAUGCCCUACCUCAACCCAGGGCCACAUAAAAGCACAUCAUAAAGCAAAAACGAAGGGAAAAAAAAAUUUUGACAGACGAACAAUGAACGGACCUUGGUCUGCUAAGGGCCUGCUGAGAUCGAUGGCGACAAACAAUAACCCCUUGGUUCUGCUCUGCAUCAAACAAAAUGUUAGGAGAAACCCCAUGAUAACAAAUUAGGACAAUUUAUCCCCAUGAUUUAAAAAAAAAAAAAUAGGGCAAUUACCCUAAAUCGUACGGGCGGAGGCGGAGGCAACGGGGGCGGUUCGGUGGUUCGAGGCGGAAGCGGAGGCAGCGGGGCGGCGUCCUCCGUGUAAACCCUCUGGAUUCGUUGUGAUUUGGCGACGGCGGAGGCAGAGGCCGCGUGGUCAGGGCUCUGUCAUGACUCGGAGGGAGAGAGAGGGCACAGCCGGGAGGCGCUAGCGACUCGGUGACGGCAGAGGCAACGGACGAGCCGGAGACGGAGCCGGAGGGGCGGCGCGAUGGCUCGUCGGUCGGACGAGGGCUCGGUGGUUCGUCGGAGGGAGAGAGAAGGAGCAGAUCGGGCGCGCAGAGAGAGAGUGCAGGACGAGCCGGAGCCGGAGGGGCGGCGCGGUGGUCCGUCGGUCGGGCGCGGUGGUCGUCGGUCGGGCUCGGAUGGAGAGAGAGUCGGGAGAAGAAGUGAGAGAGAAGGUCGGGCGAAGAAGUGCAGGGGAAAGGGAAGAAGUGCCACUCUAGUUAAAAAAAAUUGGCCUGACAACUUGGGCCACUCCGACACGUGGCGCAAUUUGGAGUUCCUCCUUGUUCUCCACGCUCACGAGACGUACUGAAUAUUUUCUCGUGUUGCCGGUUCGGCCAAGGGGACCACAUUAUCAAUAAUCACAGCCAAAACAAGAUGUAUUCCCAAAUUUCCCACGAGUUGAAUCAGAACUCCAAGAGCUCCACAUUAAUCAAAAUAAGUUCAAGGUCUUAACUUUUAGUUUUCCAAGUGAAACUUUUUCUUUUUGAUUUAUACACGACGACUUACUUGUGUAGUAUAUUAAUACGUCCAUGAUGGAUUGUGAUUGGAGCACGCCAUUUCGUCUUUGGUAUAUUACGAUGGAAAGACAUCAUUUGAAAAGGUAUGAGGAAGUUAUAUAAAAGUCUUUUGAAGAUAACCAUUGAGACAGUUUGUAAAAUGUACGCUCAGAAAUUCCUCUAUUUUUCUUGUCCUCUUUUCAUCAAAAGGAAAAGAAUGCAUUCCACUUCUCCUUUAUGAGAACAAUUGGCAUUUACGUCACGAAAAUCAUAUAUUUUCCUCAUGAUUGCAUUCAGACCAACGUGAAGUAAUUUUGUUCGUGAUUCAUCCGCAAUUCAAUCGUUUCGGGAUAAAUUGUUGACGGCGCAUUAGAAAUAGGUAAGUCGUAUUCCGCCAACUUCCUUCCAACAUUGGUAUCAGAGCAAGGUCGUGAUUUCUGUCUUGUUUUCAUCGAAUUUUCUCCUUUACCACUUGAUAACGAGAUCAAGAGAUUGAAUUCUACAUUGUAUGUUUAUUGCUCGGAAAUGCAAUCUGAAUCAUCGAAAAUGAACCAAAGCAAAGAACGGAUUUGGGAUCAUGUACAUCCGUAUGGUUUUGGCCAUUAUUCGGAAUAUUUUUCGAUCAAAAUAAAUUUUUAAAUAUAAAUGGUGAAAGUACUCGUCGAAACGAGUCCGAUGAUGGUUCAAGUGCCGCCGGUGCCAGACGCCGGUGCCAGACGCGCCCACACGCACGGCCAAAAAAAGCCCCAAACCAAAAAAGUCCCAAAUUAGUUCACUUCACAUUUCUCUCUUCUCCCGUUCCCUAGCGUCGAUCUUCUCCCGUUCUCUACCUCUGCUCGACACCACUACCGCUUACCCUCGAUGCUACCGCCAACCUCUGCUCGACGCCACCGCCGACCUCUACUCGACACCACUGUCGCUCGCCCUUGACGCCACCGCCGACCUCUAAUCGACACCACUGCCUCUCGCCCUCGACGCCACCGCCGCUGGCCCUCGACGCCACCGCCAACCUCUGCUCAACGCCACCACCGCUCGCCCUCGACGCCACCGCCGCUUGCCCUCGACGCCACCGGCGACCUCGCCCUCGACGCCACCGCCGCUCGCCCUCGACGCCACCGCCGCUCGCCCUCGACGCCACCGCCAACCUCUGCUCAACGCCACCGUCGCUCGCCCUCGACGCCACCGCCAACCUCUGCCCAACGCCACCGCCGCUCGCCCUCGACGCCACCACCGACCUCUGCUCAACGCCACCGCCGCUCGCCCUCAACGUCACUACCGCUAGCCCUCGACGCCACCGCUGACCUCUGCUCAACGCCACCGCCGCUCGCCCUCGACGCCACCACCGCUUGCCCUCGACGCACCGGCGACCUCUGCUCACGCCACCGCACUCACCCUUGACGCCACCGCUGCUUGCCUCGACGCCACCACCGGACCUCUGCUCGACGCACUGCCGCUCGCCUCAACGCACCGGUCGCUGCCUCGAUGCCACGCCGNNNNNNNNNNNNNNNNNNNNNNNNNNNNNNNNNNNNNNNNNNNNNNNNNNNNNNNNNNNNNNNNNNNNNNNNNNNNNNNNNNNNNNNNNNNNNNNNNNNNNNNNNNNNNNNNNNNNNNNNNNNNNNNNNNNNNNNNNNNNNNNNNNNNNNNNNNNNNNNNNNNNNNNNNNNNNNNNNNNNNNNNNNNNNNNNNNNNNNNNNNNNNNNNNNNNNNNNNNNNNNNNNNNNNNNNNNNNNNNNNNNNNNNNNNNNNNNNNNNNNNNNNNNNNNNNNNNNNNNNNNNCCAUACUGUGCUUAUCAUGUCAAACUCUGUUAUCUGGGUUUUUAAAAGCUAAACAUUUCUAUGAUUGUACCUUACCAAAAAAAAAAAAAAAAAAAACAUUUCUAUGAUUGUAUUUAAUGUAUCACUAUCACACCAAUAGUUUUUGUGUAUUUGCAGGUAUCAAUCAAUGCCGCAUAAGGCAGUUGAAGAAAAUAUAGUCGUAAGCACUUCAAAUCUUUACGAUCACUAUUUUCUUCCUCCUCAGAGAGGUAUGACCAAGAUAACUGCUGCUCAUUUGCCAUACUUCGAAGGCGACUAUUGGUCUGCUUCUGCCGAGAAUUUGAUCAAGGAUAUUGAACAAAAAGAUGUGGAUGACUUGCAAAAGAAAGGACAAAAAAUUUCAUCAAGAAUUUUGAAAGCCAUGGGACAUAAAAGCUCUUCUGAUGGUGCCAAAAAAAGACAUUCUUUUCAUGCAAAAGGUAUCUCAUUUUGUUCAUCUCAAACGUUAUAUAUAGUACUGUUGCUCUAGCCUCUAGAUUGAUUAUAACCUAUGAUCCAGACACCCGAACAACAAGGAGGUUUAAUUAGCCAAUUAUUGUUGGUAUGAACGUGUAUACAGAUUCUGCCUCUGUUUCCCUCCCAGAUAUUCGGUUUACUUCUAUUCAGAGCUUAAUAUGAGGAAGAAUUCCCUCUUUGCAACCCAGGUUCCAAAUGUCAAAUCGUAUACUGGAGCUUUCUGAUCUAUUUUGUGUAGGUUCAAUUGCACUUCAUUGCAAGCAAAUUCCUUCCUAAAUUACUGCUAAACUUGCAAUCAAAUAACUGAGUAUCAGUUAUUCUUUGCCAAUGAUCUAAAGCUCUUAAGAAAAUUAGUUAAUGCAAAGGAUGCUCAGCGCAUGGAUGAAACUGGACUAGUUUAAAAUCCAUAUAAGUUGUUAAAGCUGAGGACUGUAAGUUCUAACUUGCUUUUGUGCUCUGCAAUUGAUGCUGUAAUGACUGCAUGUCAUGUUUUGUUUGAGUUGUUGCUUUACUCCUGCGGGAUCCUUGUAUGACAAUAAGCAAUCUUAUUUUUUCCCUGAAGAUUUCCUAUUCUGUCUACAUAUGUCAGUUGCAUAAUGCUAACUCCAUGAGAUCUACAGUUCCAUAGCCAUUAUUGAGUUUCACAAGGUUCUGUUUGGACCUUUCUUAAACUCAUGAAGAAGUGGGAGUCACGAGACAUCUACAAGGUUUUGGCUAAUUGCUUGAAACUUAGUAUGGACACAAUGGUUCCAGACAAUUAACAUGAGGAACUAUCCCAUCGUAGAUUGCUAUUUCAUUCUGAUACAAUGGCAAUCUUUUUCUUUUUGAUUUUUUUUAACCAAAAAGAGAGAUGCUAUUUCAUUAGAUGGUGCCAAAUCUAGUGGCAUUUUCUAAUCCUGUGUUUUUCUGAACAUUCAAGAGGCUAAGUUAAAUGUCAAGAUCCGCAUCGGCUUGUUUAACUUAGCAGUAUAUAAUACUGUCAUUUCGUGUCAUAGACUGAAUAAGAUUCAUUUAUUAGAGAAAUGAUGAUAUCUGUUCAGCAACUUCGUGGCUGGUUGAUUUUACCUUCUUUUCUGUAUCUUUAAAUUAUGCUCUCAUUAUUUUUCUCUUAUUAAUAACAGCUUGGGGAAAAAAUCCUGCCUGCCAAGGAAGACUUCAUUGUUGUCCAUUUGCAGUAUGUAUACUCUCACUGCCUUGAAGUUAUACUGUCCACAGAACGAUAGUUCUGCAGUCAAUGCAAAAAAUUUCAGCUAUGCAAGAGGUAAUAUCUAAAUAAGAUUUUCCCGUUGUGUCAUUAUGUUCCUAGACAUUGCUUUGCAUGAAAUGUUGCAGACUUAUUUGUCAUCAGCGGAGUUCAGAGAGAAAUUUGGAAUGACAAAGGAUGCUUUCUAUAAGUUGCCCAAAUGGAUACAGAACAAGCUUAAAAUGGCACUUCAAUUGUUUUGAGUCUGGUUUGAUAGCUCUAUUUAUUCUUUUGCUUUUUCCAUCAAGGCAUGGCAAGCAGCAGGUAGCUUUUUCGGGAUAUCUGUAAUAAAAUCUUUCCUUGUCUCAUGUUUCUUCAAUAUUAAUUUAAAUAUAGCUUCAUUGAGUGUUGUCUAACCACCAAUUAAUUACUUUUCAUUGUGCAGUUGGUGAAUUUGGAGCGGCAUUAGUCAAAGGGGUAGAAAGGUGCCUUUUUUUUUUUUUGGAUGCUUCUGCUCCCAAGGAACUACUUUUGGCAAUUUAUGGACAUAGAAGCUCUGGUUUGUUUCUUUCCUUCUUCGUUAUAGUUCAAAUCUGAAAAUGAAAAAAAAAAAAAAAAAAAAAAGAUCCCGUUGGAACUUGGAACCGACCCUGGAAUCUAUGACAGGGUAGGUUCCAGGUUUUUGGUUCUGACGGGUAGGUUCCAAGUUCCAAAAAAUGAGAAACCUAUACUCGAUGGUAGGUUUUAGGUUCCAGACGGAACCGAACCGGAACCGAAAACCGCUCACCCCUACUUGGAGCCCCAACUCACAAAUUUCAUUACUACCUAUGAUGGUAUUUCCACUCUAGAGUGGCAAAUGAAGUAAUUAUACCUCAAAAGGACUAAAGCUUUUAACUUUUCUGUUUGCUUAACCAUUCAUGGUGAAUAAAAUUAUUAAAAGAUUUAUAACUAAAUUAAUCAAAUUGAAAAAUUUAGGAUUGAAUUGAUAGUCGUACAUAAGUGUAUGACUUUUUGGACUAGAGAUCUACUAUCAUGCAUAGUCAUUCCUCACAUAUCUCAUAGUUUGGUCUCUAUUGGUCUAGAGGUGAUUUCCUCCCACUUCAAAACCCAAACCCCCACGAAGCUGAUGAUGGAUGUUAUUUUUUGUGUCUAACUUGGAAAUUUUUUGUUGUCAUGCUAUUCUAGUUUCUACUUCAAUUUGUUUAAAAUCUUUUGACAUGCUUAAUCAUAUUGUGCUUUGGAAAUUACGGUUCAAUGCAUGCAAAGGAGGAUAGUAUUUUGUCAACAUAUCAACUGCAUAUACAAAAAUUCAUGGUAUGAACAAAUUGCUCUUUAAAUGGUGACUUAAUUGUCCAUAUUCCAGCUAUAUUUUGAAAUAUUUAUUGUGACGAUUUUUUUUUUUUUUGUUAAUCUAUCAAAUCUGAAAAUGUUUCUAACACGGGGUCGGAGUGCAUUUUGAAAAUGUAGGGGGUUUUGGAGUAAUUUUGAUAAAAUUGAAGGGUAUCCAAGUAAAUUUAUACUAGAAUAAAUAUCGCUACAGGAUAAUAGAUCUUCAUUCAGAUUUUAUUUUUUUAUAAAUUAGAAGUUCCUAAUAGCUCCUUAAAAAUUGGAAUUUAAAGAAAUAUGAUUAAUUUGAGGGGCCGAACAUUAUGGAUCUAUACGUAAACUUAUGUUUUCCCUACUUGGACCUUAAUUGAAAUUUUGAGAAGUUGGGGGACUAGGAUUAAACUAACCUAUGUUGGGAAUAUAGGUGCGUUUGGGAAAGGCAUUCCCAAAGCCCCUUGGGCAUUCAAAGUCCUUUAGGCCCGUUUGGUUCGGUUUUGGGGAAAUGCCAUUGGGAGAAUGCAAAUAUCUUUAACGUAAAGGGGUUUCUCGAAAUGCUACACCAUUUGGUAAAUUACAAUCUCAAGUAGCAUUGAAAAAUAACUUUAGCAAAAACACCGUUUGGCAAAACUUGCAUUUGUAAUUGGCUUUUGCUUUUUUAUUUUUUUUUUAAGUCUGAAAAUAAAAUCCGGCAGCCGACUAACUGCCGGCCAACCGCCGGCGCUCCACCAGCCAACUGCCGAACGGCCAAUCUAGUCGCCGGACCACCAGAUUUGGCCUCUCGACAGCCAGAUCUGGCGGCUGAGGUCGCGACCUCAGGUAGCAUCGCUUGGCGCGCGUGAACCAGGCGACGAAGCCUGGGUCGUGGGUCGCGCCACCCCGAGCGAUGGUCACCGGGGACGCACGACCCCCACGCAGUGGUGGCGGUUGCCGGAGAAGCCGAACUCUCAGGCAGCGGGGAAGACGAAGACGAACGUGGAAGAAGAUGAACAAUAACGGUGAUGAACAAUGAACUUGCAUAUCCGAAAUGCCCAAUGCUCAAAGCUGGUCCUCCCCAGCAUUCAGCUUUCGGCAUUUAGAAUGCCCGCAUUUGGCAAAUGAGCAUUCAAAAACACUUGCCAAACACGAAAAAUUUUCCCCAAGGGGCUUUGGGGGCUCAAAGCCCCUUAGAAAGCCCAACCAAACGGGGCCUACAGCUUUCGGCAUUUAGAAUGCCCGCAUUUGGCAAAUGAGCAUUCAAAAACACUUGCCAAACACGAAAAAUUUUCCCCAAGGGGCUUUGGGGGCUCAAAGCCCCUUAGAAAGCCCAACCAAACGGGGCCUAAAUCAAAUAAAAUGUGUUUGGCAAUUUUAUUUUUUUUAAACCCCACUUCCCAAAUACAAGCCUUCCAAGGUUGAGAGUCCAAGGCAACUGAGGGAAUCCCUUGAGCUUUUGCCUUCUAGACAUGCUAAGCUGCUAUUCAUCUUCUUCUUCUCCAUUGAACAAGACCGACAUAGCUAUGAGUGGACGCCAGCGAAGGGCAGACGGUCGUAGCGACCUAGAUCUAUCGUGCAACCUUUGUUUAAGGGCCGUCUGAGGUCGCAUGAUUGGAUGGCCCUCGCCCAGGUCAUGCAACUUCUGGCAACCCAAAUCUAAGUCGCUGGUUGCGAGACCCACCUCUAGCGACCCAAAUCUAGAGAAUUCAAUGUGACAUUAUUUUAAGAAUAAGUUAAAUGACUUGAUUCAUCGCAGAUAUGAAAACUAAAAAUAUGUGUAGUACAUAAUUGAUUGAGGCAACAAAUUCCCCUAAACUGACAAAUUGGGAUUAAAUUAGUUUCUAAAUGAAACCUAAGCCCUUAAAUUCUAUUGCAACCUAACUUGCAAGUCAUGAGGCAAGUUCCUCAAAGGAGUAGGGGUGAGCAUUGGGUCUAGGGUCAACACUAAACCGACCCUAUAUCGGUCUAACCUUGCCGACUGGUCCAAUUCUUAGGAGGACUAGGUUGGUCCUUGGUCUAUAUAUCUCUGAACCAGCAUUGUGUGAGUUAGUCCUGGAUCCUAAGAGUUUAGGGUCGAUUCAACUUAAACCAAUUCUAACUGUAUAUAUUAUAUAUAAUAUCUUUAGAGAUAUUAUAUAUAAUAUAUCUAAUUUAUUAUUUAUAAUGCUUUUGUAUAAUUGAUAGAUCAUUAUAGGAACUUCCUGUCUUGUCUCAUAUUUGUCACACCUCAAAUGCCGGGUACACACACAUCUCUCGGCGGUCGAUUAAAAAUGCGACGUCCUAGGACUCGCUACCAACCCAUUUUUUUUAUCUUUCAAUUAAGUACAUGUGGAAGCAAAUUAAAUAAACACCUAGCCAACAAACAAACACAGUGAUAGUAAAAAUACAGCAACUAACGCCGAAAACAACAUAUUUAUUUAUCAAUUGUUAAACCUAGGAAGUUUAAUACUUACAAGCCUUUCCACGGCCACUUCCUAUCAUCCCUUUCAAAAACCUCUAAAGAUUAGGGUUCAACCUAAACUUCACUAUCGACAGGGCGAGCCAAAAGGUGUCAUAUCUCGCACCCACCAAAUCCGCACUCAGCAGAUCUCCACGCUACGGCCCUGAAAAAGUUUAACCACGACGGGGUGAGAUAAAUCUCAGUGAGUCAAAACCCUAAGCCCCGGUUAGGACGCAAAUUCGCCUCAAAGAACACGCACCAUACAAAACUCACCUCGCCUUGUCGCGUCCCUGCACAUUAGCACAUCACAUGUGCCAUUAUAAAAAUCACAAGCAUAAUUAAUAACUGGAACACAUAACACUCAUCCUUCAAACAUUCACAUGGAUCCCGAUUAUAAGGUAAAACCGUUAUGACAUAUCCCAUACCGUGCCACACAAUUUUGCCCCAUAAUCAAGCGCAAUAACACAACCAUUCAGGUGUGUUCCGAUUAUUACGACCCCUCGAGUCACGGUCAACACAAAAGUCGACAAUCAUCCGGCGUAACUAGGUAUCGUCCCGCCCCAUCGGGCAUGGCAUUAUCCCGUGUACUCAUACACAUCAGGACAGCAUUCCAUAAAGGAGCAUCAGUCCGACCUCAACCGCGACCGGCAUCCGUUGACGUGGGGUAUCCGAACUUAAUCAGGCAUUGUCCCGCAUAAUCAUACACAUCAGGAUGGGUUCAUUAACCCGCAUAUUCAUACGCAUCAAGGUAUUUAGGUGAUCACACGAGCACAUCAUCACUUAAUCCAUUGUUAUCUUCCUCUUUAGCCAAGAAUGCCAAGAUCUCUUUUCAAAAAUCAACUUGGCAACUCUUUUUUUGUUUUUCUUUAAAUCUUUUGGAAAUAAAUUCGUACGCGGUCACGUACUCAAAAUCAAUCCGUCAAACUUUGCACACUUCUACUAUAAAACCUCAUUGUUUUAUUGAGCAAACAACAUUUGGCGUCCAAACCCGACACCUCAUUUAUUUUCUAUUUUUCUUUUCCAACCACCCUCUUUUUGAAACUAAACUUGGGUAAUCCCUUCUUUUUUUCUUUAAAACUUUUGGAAAGAAAUUCGUAGGUGCUCUCGUACUCAAAAUUAAUCUACCAAACUUUGCAUGCACCUAGUUUCAAAUCUCAUUAUUUUGUUGAGCAAAUAAGUUUUGGUGUCCAAACCCGACGCCUCAUUGUUUUUCUAAUUAACAGCUUAUAAAGCCAUCUUUUGACAUAAAAAUCGGAACCAACAUAGAGUAACCAAUCUCAUAAAUAUCACGCAUAAAUUCUCAGCAUGCCAACAAUCAACCAAAUCACACAAAUAUACAUUUUUCAACAAGCAAGACACCCAAAACAACCACAAGACCACAACCAGCCCUGACCGGCACAAACGGAGUCCACUCGCAUGUCUCCAAGAUUAAUUCCGGAAACAUAACCAAACGAGUUUGGAAAAUUUUAAAAUUUAGAUAUGUUAUAAAGGACACUUAAAAGAACACUUUUUAUGAAGACACCUUAAUCCAUAUCUUCCUAAAAUAAGAGCAGUAAAUCGCUCAGACCAUUACCAAAACUGUGUCCGUGUCCAGAAAUUAUGUUUUCCAAAACUAGCUUGGUUCGAGGUCCAAAACUUGUCUGUUUACUCUGAAGUGUGACUAUGUUAAACUUCAAAAUGUGAUGAAAAACUUUUGUGAAGAAACUCUUUCAAAAAUCGAACAUUAAGAGUUGAUAAAAAUCAUUUCAACACCAAAAGGUCACUGGUUCCAGCACAAACCGAGAUUCUGCUUUGCUUGUAACGAAGCUGAAAACUAACAUCUUCAUGCUUGUUGGCAGAGUUUUAAAAUUUUAGCUUUAAUUAAAAAGAACCUUUCUGUUUGGUCCUCCGUCUUCAUCUAUGUGGCCACAUGCCCAUGACAUUAUCAAUACCCACUUCUUCCCGGGGGAGAAAGUCUUACAUAAAUUGGGUCUUUGUACCCCCAACAUCAUUUCAUAUUACCUAAAUAGUCCGGGAUAUGCACGGGAAUUGAAGGAUUAAUUUCGGUUAUUUUUCAAAAUUAAAAAAAAAAAUGUUAACACUACACUAAUUUUGUGCAAAUCUUUUAGUAAUUAUUUACAUAAGUAAAUAUUUCAAGGAUAAAUUUGGCAAACUUACGUGUUAAUUUCUAAAAAUAGACAUUUUAUUUCAUCAUUUCAAAAUUGUCUAGAUUAUGUAUUGAAAUAUUAUGGUGAAGAAAUUACAUUUCCAAACUUCAAAUUACUGUAAAUUCUUCUUAUCAAGGAAUAAAAAAUCUACCAUCAUGUCAAAUUUCUCAGAGAUCAUUCUAGACUUUUUUCUUGUGCAAUAUAAUUGUCAUACUAUUUGCUGUAGAAUUUUUCUUUAAUAUAUUAAUGUUCGUGAGUGAUUUCCAGUCUUAUAAAAAGAAGCAUUAUAUUUUCCCAGUUUGUAUAUAUUAUCGAGCAAACAAAUUGGUUUAGGUCUUGUGAAGUUUUAGGCUUUGUGCAUUUUAAAAAUAUAAGAAAUGAGGCAAUCUCUUUAAUGGUUAAAAAAAAAUCUGGUUGUCUAUAUAUUUGAUUUAUAAAUAUUUUCCAUUUUCUUCAUCACAUAAAUCUUUCAGAGAUUGAAUUCCAAAAAAGAAAAGUAUUGUAGACUCAUAUAGAAAUUGGUAAAAUUAAAAGUAUGAGGAUCAACGUUGUUGACAAUGUGUAGUUUUUACUCCAUUUAUAUUUAAAUAUUUCAUUCUCAAUCAUAGAAAUAUAAUGGGUAAGAAGAUGUGACAUAUAUUGAUAUUCUAAGAAUGGACAUGUUGUAUAACUAAUUUAUUAAAAAAUGAGUCAGCAACAGCUCAUCCACAAUAGUGGUUUUUUAAAGGUUAGAUGCUUUCAAAGCAUGGCUGUGUCAGCCACCAACUCAUGAUUCUAUAUCAAGUGCUAUGAAUAUUUUACUUUUCCUCUAAAGAAAAUAUUAUGAUGAAGCAAACCGGUUGAAUGGACGAUCAUGUGUUGCUCUGGAGAGCACCUAACCAUCUCUCUAUUUGUGCAUCAAUAAUGCCACUUUACUUAUAGUUUAGAGAUAUAAUCCACUAACAAAAUGCGUUUGAUUAGGGACACAAUUGUUGGUAAACUUGAUCUGUUGAUGAGAAAACAACUACGUGGAGGCACUUAUUUGCAUCUAAUAAGUAAGAAAUUAUUAACUGAAAUAAAUAUAUAUAUAUAGUAAACUCAAUUUGAAUCAUAGAAGUUGAAGAGAUUCGUAUGGAAUCCACUAUUUGUAAUGGGUCAAAUUCAAUUUAUUUUAUGCACUAAACGCACUAAAUAUUUUUUUUAUGAUAGCUAACCCCACCACUACUUCUCAAUGCAUACGACUAGUCAUUUUGAGAAUUCAACGGUUAAAAUUCCACUUGUGUAAACUCAAGCCCCAAAAUGUCAAUGUUUGAAAGGAUGGAUCUCACGUAAGACCCGUCUUAUCUAAUGUGUAUGUUCCAAUCAUCCGUAGUAAACUAGAUUCAUCCAAUAAAUUUAAGAAAUGAGGGAGAUGAUCAUAAUGGUGAAAAUGGGUUAGACUUUGAGUAGGAAAAUUGUCCAGAAAAUAACAAAUUCAGCCAUAAAUCUUUUAGUUGUACACAUUGAGUUGUAAACCUUUUGACAUUUGCCAAUUUAGUGAUAAACAUUUCUAUUGUGUCAAUUUAGUUCUAAACUUUUUAUUGAUUUUUCCAUUUAGUCCUAAACUUUUUCACGAUUUGUCAAUUUAGUCAUUCUAAUCAAUUUUGAUUGAAAAUCGUUGAUGUAAUCAUCUUGUUGGCACUGGGCCAUCCUACAUGGCACAACCAAUGCAGAUGUGGAUAAUUUUUGUAAAUUCUUUUAAAUUUUUUAUUUUUCUCAUUUUCUUUUCUUUUUUCAUUUUUUUUCCUUUUUCCCUUCGCCAGCCAUCACCAAGCAUCAUUGACACUGACGAAGGUCACUAGCCUUAGAUGAGGACCACCCUCACCUAGCCCUUAUCAACCUCAAACGAGAGCCUUGCCAAGGGCUGGCGUAGGCUGCCCUUCCACAACAGCUCAGGCAAUUGUCGAAGUCUGGCAAGGGCAACCGUCACCUCUGAGGCAAAUGAGGCUAGGCAAUGACUGAUAGGGGGAAAAAAGAAAAAAAAAAAAAAAGAAGUAAAAUAUUUAGAAGAUAAAAAAAAAAAAAUUACAAAAAUCGUCAAUGUCAAUGUCACAGUGCCUUGUUGAUGGCCAUAACUAACUAGGUAGUCAUGUAAGCACUUUUUAGCUAAAUUUGGUUGGAAUAACUAAUUUGAUCAAUUGUCAAAAGGAUUAUGACUAAAUUAACAAAUCGUUAAAAAAAUUACUAAAUUGACUCAAUUGAAAGGUUUAGAACUUAGUUAGCCACCGUACGAUAAGUUUUUGACUUAAUUGGACAAUUGAAAGGUUUUGGAUUAGAUUGGCUGCCGUACAAUAGGGUUAGGACAUUUCGAACAACUUGUCUGAUUUUUCGCCAUGUCCCUGAUCUCUCAAUCGUAAUGGGUGAUAAUCAGUUUUUUCUUUUGAUCAUGGAAUAAGACUGAGUUCUAAUUCAAAUCCCAUGAUCUUAUUUUAGAGGUGUAAGAGGAAUUUGUCCAGUGAAUACUGCAAAAAUUGACUUAGUAAAACGGAAGGUUCUGAAAUCUUAUUAGAAGUUCUAAACCAUGAAUUUCUUUUAAACAAUUCCAAGUCGAGUUUGAACGUUCUGAGUGUCUUAAUUUAUUUUCAAUUUUUUUGGCUUUGAUGCCCGGCUUCCUUCAGUCACGUUUCGGGCUAUAAUCUGGCUUUGGUAAUUGGAUUUGAGUUGAGCUGAGGUAGAUUGACACGUCCAAAUUUGAUUUCAUUAAUAGGAUGUGUGAAGUCCCGUUGAUGAUGACCACUGACCCCGAAGAGAGCGAGAAGCAGAGAUGUUUAGAAUUUUCUCUUCUUUUAAAGACGAAAGGCCUUCGCCCAUGAAUAACGAUUCGCGGUAGAAAUAAGACAUAAUUCCAGAGAUAAUUUGAAGACGAGCAAAGUGGCAGCCAAAAAAAACAGAGAGAACAAAGCGGCAGUUCAAAGUUUAAAUAGAAGGGAGUGUGUCAACUCGGGAUUUGUGGCGAAGUAAACACAAUUUAUUUGAAAUAAUUUAGAGAGUUUUGACUUAGUACGCUCUAUCAAGUUAAGUGAAAAACGGUCUUACCUGGUCAACCCCUAACAUUUUCAUUAUGAGCUUAAUCUCAACUUAUGCCCUUAUGGCAUGGGCCUUCUAGCUUGUUUCCUUCUCACACAUGGUGAUGCUCCAUUUGUCGAUUAUCUCCUAUUUAGCAGUAUGCACCAUGUUUGCUGAGUAAGUAAGUCACAUCAGCAAAAAAAAACAUGACAUGGCACAUUAUUUAACGAAAGGAACACAUUGAGCUACAUUUUGAAAAUCCCAAUACUCAACUAUACAAAACAAAAGUUGAGACACUCGAUCAUAAAAGAGACAAAAAUUUCAAGUAUUUGCAAUGUUAUUACCUCUAAAAAAUUAUCAUAGAGUGAAAUUUUUAUUUCCUUCCAAAUUGUUUCUUACAUUUACUUUCUAAUGUCAACAGGCUCCUAUUAAUUUAUCGACCAUUGUACUACAUAUUCAAGGAAACCAAAAGCAAAUUGAAAACAACGAAGAGUUGAAGACUACUGUGCUUGUGCUCACAAAGGUCGUGUGUUCUCUCGUGCCAAUAGUGAACCAUUCUUUCACAUGCAGCUUUCCCAACUGGAAGUUUCGUGUCGAGUAAGAGAACUCUCAUGGGAGAUAUUUGGCGAAACUCUCAAGCAGCACUUGUCCAUGCUUCUGCUACUCAAGGGCAACUGUCGCUGUGAUUCAGGCUCAUAGGCAAAAUUACAUAAGGUAUAUACGCAAAAGUAAUGUCAAGAGAGACACACUUUCAUGAAUUCAUGGAACAAUAAUAAAAGAAAGUUAACAGUAUAAAACAUGUCAUAAAGAACAUCAGGCACAGACACAACCAAGGUUGUUGCAUCUCCUAAUGAAAAUCUUCUACAUGUACUUCAAAAAGCUACAAACUAACAUGCUUCUCUUCCUAUUUAUUGCAGAGGAAAGGCCGCGAAUUAAAAUAGCCAAAUCACUCUCCAGGGAAACCUCUUUUAUCAUCUCCACAAGGCAAAAGAUAGGAGAUAAAUCUAUGUGACUAUUUUGUGAAGACUUCAUUGAAGGAGUAACCAUUAUAAUUUUUGGGUUGUGUGGAGCAAAGAAAGAAAUCACAAAGUCACACCUAUAUUCUGGCUUAUAAUCAUCUAUUAAGAAAGCUUAAAUGCGUAUCAGAUCACAACGUGACACUAACUACAGAAUAACAAGUCUAGACCUCUUGGAUAUCAAUCAUAUUCACAUGCACACAAAUGAGAGAACUACGUUUUAAAUUACAUAUGACAACAAUAGUUUCUAAUAGUAAAAAAUCACAACAUUUUUAACCAAAUGUCGAAACGGAGUUCUUCAAAGUUUAUACCUCUAUCCUUGAAACAAACUAGUUCCCGAAAAAAGACAAGAAUGAGGUAAUGCUUUGUAUUCAUAACAGCAAGAUGAAAAAUUCACUCGAGGACAAGGAGUGUUUCGAGUAGCAUUUUAGGUACCUAGUAAAACAUGAGGAGAAAAGUUUUAACCUGUUAAUGCAGACAUUUGGGAGAAAAUUAUCCAGUCUAUUUUGAGAUGAUGGUGGCAAAAGAACAUGAACAAUCUGACAAACACAAUGAUAUUUUCUCUUAAUUCAUGAGAACUUCAAAAUUUAACGCCAAGUGCAACUUCCAAUUGGGAAUAGUGUUAAACUUGGUGGCACAACCUGAAACCUCCAACAAGCAAGCUUAGUUCAAGUAUGGGUCAUUAGGAAGAUGAAUUAAAAUGCACCCUCAAAUCCAACUUCCAUCCAUAGGAAAAAGGAAUCCCACAAGGUAGUGCCAGUAUUUUACUGGCAGAGGUAUUGUGAAAUUCAUCUCAGCAUGAACAAGAUUGGUUCUCUAUUGUGGUCAGGAAGACUCGGGUAAUUAGGAGCCUGAGCCACAUCUUAGCAAGAUGUGAGAAAAUAGAUAGCACAAAAAUUAUCGAAUUAAACCUCACACAACACAAAUUCAUCCACAAGAAACCCAAAACCCAAAAAAAUAAAAGAGAAUUCUUAGGGAGACAGACCUUUUGGAUAGUGAAAACUGCAAAAUGAAGAGUUGACUAAUCCCUAUUAAAAGAAAUAGUUUCCACUUUUCAUGCAAUAGAUAAGCAAGCGUCGAUAACUGAGUCAAAUGUGCUAGUCCAUUGGGAUUUUAUUGUGCUUUUACAACUACGAGUUUCUAGCACUAACAUCUGCUCAACUUGAAUGAGACAAAGAACACGAGAGUACUAAUUUUGGCACCACAAGUAAACUAACCUCACUUGGUAUUGUCGAUUUGUUGAAGAGAUCCAGCAAAAUUGUGAGAGAACAUCAGGUGAAGUUGAAUUUCAUCUAGAGAUGAAGAAGCUUUUGUUAUAUCUCUCGUAUACCUAAUUAAGAGACAAAGAGGCUUUGAGAAUGUUAAUAGAGGGGUUGGGGAGAAGAGUUAAUGAGACCUUAUAGGAAAGGAACAACUUUCAAUUCCAAAUCAAAAAAGAGGCAAGGCAGGUACCUUUCUUUUGUUUGGGCGGGUUUCUUUUCUUUUACCAAGUGGUACUUCCUUCUUGCUAUAUGCCCCAAUUUUUGUCUCUCUGCUAGAGAAAGAUGGAAAGUAGCCACUUCCAAGGCCCCAAUUUCUCGCUUGACUUAAUUCUGUGGGGAUAUCUUAUGUAUGAUAGUUUCUUUUUGGGUAAAGGCCAUAAGCAAAGUGAUAAAUACUCACUUCUGAACAAAGAUCCCUGCAUGGAUUUCGAAAUUCUUGAACUCCUUUAACCUCCUAGACUACACUAAAGCUGACAAAAAACCACGGAUUCCACAUGAAUUCAUUGUCUAUCACGUGGACAUUAUAAGUAAGCCCAUAUAAAUUAAUGCUCGUGUGUAUGCUCCACUUUCAUCAACGCUUAACAUGAUGAGCAAUUUCAAGAUGCUUACAGGUUCAUUAUAGAAGAAAUAACCUCAUGCCCUUGGUACUGAUAAUCCCCACAAGAGCAAAUGCCACCCCUGAAGUGACCAAAGCGGCUGGAAUUUGUCACAACAAUCUCACAAUCAACAAUCUUUGCAAUAAGUCAAAUUGCAGAACGACAAUCCCCACAAACGUGAAGAUUCUCAUUACAGUUACCAUACCAUCCUCGACAGUACUAAUCAAUGCAAAUGGAACAGCAAGCCUUUCACUAUGGUAAGAUAAUGACUCUUCCUUCUGUUUGUCUUUAAUGUCAUGGAGAGAGAAUAUCUUAUCCGGAACAUAACCCAACUCCUUCAACUUCAUUUUUAGCCAAUCCAGCUUCCAAUAUAUGCUCUCACUCAAAGGACGGGAUUUAUCACUGGAAUGAAAUAAAUGCUUUUGCCCCUUUAUACUAACCCGACUGCUACUUGGUUGCUUCACAAUCCCUCUAUCCCUCAUAGUCACUCUUAAUCUCAAGAUAUCGCCCCAGUUAUUAGUAGAAGCAUAGAAGUUGAUAUUAAAACAUAAGUAGCACUACAAUGUGGUUGUAGGUCAAGAAUAUAGUUUGCAGUUUUUUUCUGCCAAAUCUAGGUUAGAAUGCAUCUUGCAAGAACUAAGCAAAGCAAGCCAUGCAAUGAAGUCAGUUUUAAGAGGCAUGUUUCUUACAAGAUCCUCCGAUUAGCACAUCCACCAUGCAAGCAUAAUGCUUGUGAAUGGAAGUGUUCUAACUAAAUUAUUUGAACAAGCAUCUCCCCUUUUGUAACAACCCAGAAUGACAACUGGAAGAAAGGAGUCCUGUGAGUGUGAUCUUAUCUGGUCCAGUCUACUUACCAUUUGGCUAAACAACUCCAUGACGCCACAUCCUUUGGCCAUCUUGUGCCCACCCACAAACAACGGCACUCCAGGUGAUGAUGUUCUUCUCCCUGAGUCUUUUGAACACUACAACAGCAUCAUCAACCACUCCACACUUAUUAUACAUGACUAUAAGAGAAUUGCCAACAAAAUCAUCACUUCCCAAUUUCAGCUUUUCAGUUGACGCAUGGACCUCCUUACCUCAAUCUGAGACUCUAAACUAUAGUGAGAAUUUAAAGCACUUACAAAAGAAGAUUGAUCAGGAAGAACACUUGUUCUCAUCCUAUCACUGAACACCUUUAGGCCAUCUUCAUGCCUACUCUUAAAACAUAACCAGUUAGAAGAGUAGUGCAUAUGACCACAUUCCCACACGCCGCUUCAUUAAAGACUUGGGUUGCUUUCUCAAUUUGCUUGCAGUUAGCAUAGAACAUGAAGAGAGAAGCACAUACAAAUCCAUUAAGGUAGCCUCCCAACUUCGAAAAUAUGGCCAUGAAUCCGCACACCAAGAUGGAAAAGACAACACAUUUGCACAGGCACUCAAUGCAUACUUGGUUAAACAGCAGACUUGAACAUUCUCUCAAUAACAAUUAAAGCUUCUUCACUCUUGACAUUUUGGUCAAGCCCAGCAAUCAUUGAAGUCCAUGAAAUCACAUUUUGAGAAGGCAUUUUCUCAAACAACUUCACAGCAUUGUCCACCCUCCCAUCUUCACGAUACCCAUGAAGCAUCGCAUUCCAUGCAGCGAGAUCUCUUAUGGGCAUCUCCUCGGAAAAAUCUCUUUGCCCGCUCAACUUGUCCAAAUCGAAAAGAACCCAUCUAUCACCGCCGUCCAUGAAACAACACUAGGUUCGGGCAUUUCAUCGAAAAGCUCUUCCACCGUCAUCAAGUCCCCGCAAUCUCGGCAGCCUUUGAUCAUAAUAUUCCAGCAAAUUGCAUCUCUGACGGGCAUUUCGUUGAACAGUUUCGAGGCGUCGCCAAGGCAGCCAGCUUGAACGCAACCCACGAUCAUCUUCUUGAACGAACGAACAUCUGGGCAUUGGAAAUAUGUCCAGAACCUCCCGAGUUUCAUCUGGCUUUCCGUCCUCAAGGUGUGUAGAGACCGCGGGAUUGUCACGAGUUGCAUGACUCGCCCGUUUAAAGAAGAAGGGAAUGAAUGUGCACAGGAGCAUCUGAGAAUUGGAAAGAUGGCGCGAGAUCUGAUCUUUUGAAGCUAUGGUACAAUCAAGGCCGAUAUAAUGAAGGCAUUUAAUUCAAUAAAUUGAGAUUUUUUUGCUUGCUGUUUGAGGAGCAUGAAUGUGACGGUGCAAUUUGUUAUGUUGAGUAAAGAUUGUAUCAAUACUACUCAUUCUCUCUCUUAGUUUUUUUUUUGGUCGGUAUUCUCUCUCUUAGUUCGAUUAGUGGCCUGGAGAGCUUCUUCAAAAGCUUCUUGGACGUUUUGAAUUUGAUAAUUUUAUAAAAAUAUAACUGAACGGUGAAUCUUUUUAGAUUUCAGCAAAUCCAUUAGAAAUUUAUAUAUCUUGUUUCGAUAUAUAUUUAAAUAUGUAUUUUUUUCUAGAUAAUGAGAUGAUGUCUUUUUUUUUUUUUUUGUAUAUAAUGAAUCUUUAUGUUAUUUUGCCUUAAAGCAAUUUUUAAUAUUGCAAUUGAAUCUUGAUAAAAUAGAGUUGAUCUUUUGUUGGAUAUCAAGAUGGAUACAGUGCUGAGUUUCUUCCAUUGAGUGGUUUUAAAUGUUGAAUGUUGCCUAUCGAGGGUUGGGGGUUCUUCCUUUUAUCGCUAGUGGACAGAAGAGUCUUUUCUCUUGGAAUACAGCGUGCACGCUCAAGAGGAUGUGGCGUUGGCAAGGCACGACGCAGCCCACUUGGGCCAGAAACAGGAUCGCACCUAGGCGCGGCCUGCUAGGUAGCAGAUCGUGCAACAUUUUGGGCUUAGGCUGAGUUAGGCCCAUGGUCUCCAAUGGGCUGGCCUUGGCCCAAUUUUCUUUUCCGAUCCAGCCUUGAAGGCCAAAUCCAUUAAUGGGGCCCUACCAUCCCCAAAAAUCAUGUCAGUGACCAAUUCGGCCAAACAGCCGACCGUUGGACCAUAAUUUAAAAAUUAUAUGUAUAUGUAAGUGAUCGUUCAGUCACUAUUGAUCACCAAUUAGUAAUCAUUUGACCACAUUUACUCUCAUUUUUCAAUCUUUACUCAAAUAUUAAUUUCAAACGCUCUUUGUCUCUACCACCGUUUGUUAAUUUCGUUUAUUUCCUUCGCCUUACAAGGAUUUAAUUGCUUUCUAAGUAUUAUAGUGGAGAACAAAAACAACAAUAGUAAUAACUGUGUCAGAUAAUUCCCAUCAAUCCUAACUUCACCUUACAAUAACUAUGGAACUCAUUCGAAGAAUAUCGCGAUAACAAUGUAUACAUGCCAGCUCUGCCUCCGUAACCAAUCAAAUUUGACUAAGGCAAGACACAACUACUCGUCGACUAUAAGAAAUUGUAGGGAUGAACGCCCAAAGCUAGUCCCCGCCAAGCCUCUUCCCCAAAUGAUUCCCCUACCCUUAAAAAGCCCCAAGCAACUGUGGCCAAGCUUUACAAAGAAAACAUAUCUAGAGGAAUUUCCAGCUCAAGAUGAAUGUCAAUCGUAACAAAAAGGCCAUUUGAAAGGAAAAAAAAUAUAUUAAAAGGGUCAUAAAUUUCGUAUGACGCUCACUUUAAUAUGAUUAUUUUACAAUCGAUCACCUGAGUGUUAUAGCUUUCAUACUACUUUCACUUGAAUGUUAUGAAUCACUUGAGUAUUGUAACUUCUAAAAAACAUUCACGAACUCUCAAACGAAGGAUUUUUCUAAUAUUUGAAAGCAAUGGCAUUUUAAUUUUUUUUUUAAAAGCUAAACUAUUUGUGCUCAGGGCAGGCACAGCCCGGUGCUCAGCCCUAUAUGUUAUGCGCUGAUGAAGUCGGUCUCUUCGUGGAUUGCUUGGGUUCAAAACUAAACUAACGCAAUCCUAGACUCCUGUAUAUGGGUAGUCAAAGAAAAAACAGACAAAACAUUUGUUUGGAUGAAAAUACCUAAUGUGAGAAGCUUGUUGAUGCCAUGAGUUAAAUAUGUGAAAGGGUAUCGGGCAAAAUACAACCUUUAUGGUUCGACAAUUGAUAUUCCCAUGGUGCUCUUGGACACAAAUAUCCAGUUUGAGUGAUAUAUAUGAUUCAGGUUUAGGUCUCCACGGCAAAGUUGCUUAUGUGAUUGAAGGAGGGAAUGGAGGUGACUUGUAGCAAGCUCUGAGCAUAGAGGCUUUAGGUAGUCGCAUUUCCCAAAUCAAAGUAUAGAAGAUGGAGCUGUUUUCAAUAGAUCUGCAAGUAGUGGUUUUUAGUCAAGAUGAGGUCUCGGAACUUGUUGGUAAUAGAGAGGCUUGACAAUGACUUGGCAUCGAUGGCGUGGUUUCAUCCCAAGGUCCCCACAUUUUCUUUGGUCAACUGGAGGUUAUGUUCAAUAGGUUAUAAACACUUUGAUAGGAUGAGCAAAUAUGUAAUGUGAUAUCUAAUUAUGGUUGUGUAAUGAGAGUCAUGAAUUGAGGGCUCAUAUAUUUUCCCCUUGUCCCUUCUCGAAGGAAGUUUGGCAGCAUGUAUCCCAGAAUAGGUGUGUAUGGUGAACUAGCUAGAAUGCCGCGAUAUAUUAGUAAGCUUGAUCUAUACCACAGAUGGAGUAUUCAUUUUUGUUGCUGGCAGGAAAUGUUCAUUGUUAGUUGCUGCUAGUGUUCUUUGUGGAUUUUAGGGCGAGUACUUUUUCUUAUAGCUGAGAUUUUGUUUUUUAGUGACUGAACGGUACAUCUUAUGAGUUUUUUUUUUUUUUUUGAGUUACCUUAUAGCGGAAAUUAGUGAAUCUCUUUUUUAACAUUUGAUGAUAUUUACUUAUCAGAAGAAAGAAGGUGCUGAUUAUAAUAAAAUAAGAUUCGAUAGAUGAAAAUAUAAGAUAAAUGAAGGGCAAAGUUGAAAUAUGCGGAUGGCAAUAUGGGGAAGUUAAAAGAAACAUGUAAGUAGUUCUUACAAAGUACCACAUGUUAGCUAAUGAUGAAUUCUCAAAUGAGUACUACCUUAUUUACAUUAGAUUAAACACUUGGACACCAUGCCUCAGUUUUCAUAAGUAUUUAGACAUUAUUUAGCGAAUCUUUACUCUAAUAGCAAUUGAGUACAAAUUUUUAAAUGCUCUUUAGUGACAUAACUUGGCUAUGUUAAGCAAUUUAGAAUAAUCAACUGCCUCGAUAAUCUUAGUAUUUAUGAUAAAAAAUUUCUAGUUUUCUUGCAUCUCUCCAAGAAAGUUUGACAAUCACAUAGUUAAAUUCUACACUCUAGAGAUCCUUCUAUAGUCGCCAAUAUCCUUUAUACCAACUUCAUCAAUACUAAUAUGUAAAUAAAUAACAAAUUUGACGUCGAAUUAAAGUUUUUGCAUCAUGAUUCAUGAUUAGCACAUGACCUACUUAAAGUGAUGAGUCAUGAUAUUUUUCGGUCAACAGUUAAGAUUAUACAUGUUUUGUGACUGCAGUGACCACAUUUACCAAUUAUAGUAUCAUGGCACAGCAAUAAAGAUGUGAAAUCAACCUCUAUCAUUAUCUAAAACAUAACAAUCUCCAUGAACACAACAAAGAUUCACAUAAGUCAUUUCAAUCGGAAAGGGAUAGAAAUGUGAAAUCUCAAAUAUCAACUCUCUGCUUCGUCGGAGUCGAUCCCUCUCGCUGGUAGAGACAUCCUCUUCCGAUUCUAUGGAAGUUUUCACCACAAAUCCACACUCUCUCGGUAAGAAUCCAGUCCUCUGAAUGUAGCUUUCUCUCCACUUGCUCUGGAUACCCACCUUCGAAUGUAGCUCCACCCCUACGCCAUGAACACCCAUUUACCAAACCCUAAACCCCCUUUUAACCCCCCCUUCGGAUGGAUUUCCUCCCCUGGCUGGGCCUCAAUGGCGAUGAGAAAUUAUCCACAACAUUCGACCCCUUCAUAGGCAACCUAAAUCGAUUCCGUUGAUACAAUCCCUAAUCCCCCUUCUGCGAGAUCUCCAUAGUGCUGAAGCAAACAACUACAGACUUCGUAUUCUACCAUAAAUCCUUCAGAGCUCCCUUCAAUCUUCUCCCCCCCAAAAAACCAUAAACCUCAACCAGUUGAAAAAGCUUGUAAUCGGCUGCCGAUAUGGACCUUCAGGAUGAGAACCAAAGUCGCCUUGCUGCCCUGUGCAAAAGUUUAGGCAAUUUAUGGUCAGAAGGUGACGUGGUCGAAGUGCAACAGGAAAUCCCUCCCAACAAACGAAUUGAAUGUAGCCAUACUCUCUUCGGUAAGCUAUACUCGAAACCCAAUGUGAACUUUCCAGCAUUCACUACCACUAUGAAGAAGGCGUGGAAAGUAGAGGCUGUUGUGUUUAUACAAAAAGAACUGGGGUUUUUUUUCCUUUGUAUUCGAUUCAGAGGAAGACAAGGAGAGAGUUCUGAAGUCUGCACCAUGGUCCCUUAAUAGCAACCUCUUAGUGUUAAAGCAAUGUGAGCCAAAAAUCCCAGAACACUGCUAUGAUUUUUCUAAAUCAGAUUUUUGGGUGCGUAUUGUUGGUUUACCCCUGGGAUGGCUUAUAGAAGAAGUCUUUGCUGAAGUUGCUGGAAAAGUAGGAGUAGUCAAGGAAAUACAACUAGAAUCUAGAGGAAUCGGUCCCUACAAAACAGGUAAAGUCAAAGUGGAGCUGGAACUUUCAGCCCCUCUCAAAACAGGGGCGUUAGUGAAGAUCGGGAACAGGAAUCUAUGGGUGGAAUUCAAAUAUGAAUGUCUCCCUCACUUUUGCUACUCAUGUGGUCGAAUCGGGCACUAUGCAUCAUAUUGCGAGGAGAUACCAUAUGAGACAACAAAUUGGGCAGCUAACAAGGUUGGUCAGUAUGGACCUUGGCUCAAAGCAGAAGUAAGAGAUUGUAGCCCACACUGGGGAGUAUUUUACGGUAAGAAUGCUCCAAAUCAGGAAGAAGAAGAAUCAGUCCCUGAAACGCCCCUAAUGACAGUUAAUAUGGAGGUUGCUACUGGCACAGAAGCUGAAACUAAUACAAACCCUCGGAACAAAAAAAGGGUUGAUAGCCCAUCAUCAAAGGAAGGCAGAGAGGAAAGAGACAAAAACACAGUAGUAAAAGAGGGGUGUGGAAAACAAAUACUGUCCCUAGAAGGCCCAUCAAAAUCUACAGGAGGAGAAGUUAAGAAAAUGCUGAAGUACCAACAAGCGAAAAAACAGAAAAGAGUUGAAUUCACCAGCUCCGACGUUCUUGAUGAUAUGGAGCUAUUACAGACCCCCGUACAGCUGGUCAAGGAGGGGAAAGACUGGGCUUUGGUGGCUAGCCUAAUAAGCCAUCCAAGACGCCAUGAAGAUCCUCAGCUGGAACUGUCAGGGGCUGGGCAACCCCCUAACAGUCCAGGAAAUUAGAGCUUUAACAGCUCAAGAACGGCCCAAUUUGGUCUUCUUGAUGGAGACCAAAAACAAGGAGACGGUGGUAGAAAAGACUAAAAGAAAGAUACAGUUUUAGCACAUGUUUCUAGAGCAACCAAUUGGCAUAGCAGGCGGUUUGGUGCUUAUGUGGAAUGAGGAGGCGGAAGUUAAAAUAAUUUCAAGUUCGAAAGAAUAUAUAGAUGUGGAAUGCAAGGAUCCUUCAAGUGGCCAUAUCAUGGAAGUUACCUUCAUACAUGCUCCCACAACUCUUUCAGAGAGACUUUUAUUAUGGCAAAAAUUACGGGAGUUGCACUCCGACAACCAUCACCCAUGGCUCUGUGUGGGGGACUUUAAUGAAAUCCUAUAUAGUUGGGAGAAGGUAGGAAAGAGGGAAGCGGAUCAACAUCGGAUUGCAGCCUUUCGGGAAUUACUGAAUGAUUGUUCUUUAAUGGACAUUGAUACAAAAGGGUGUGCUUUCACGUGGGCAAAUAAUAGAGAUGGUGAAAAAUUAGUGAAAAAGAGGCUAGACAGAGCAUUAUGCUCAAUGGAAUGGAGAAUUACCUUCCCAAAUGCUGAAGUGGUGGCUCUCCCAGCAGUUGGCUCAGACCACAGCCCACUUUUAUUGUCUUUACAUCCUGUCCGAGAGAAAAGGAGGAAGCAAUUUAAAUUUGAAGCCUACUGGAUGGAGGAAGAAGAGUGUGGGGAAAUUAUUAAACGUUGUUGGGAAGGUGACCAGCACUAUCAAACGAACUUCGCUCAGAAAAUACAGCAUGUUACAAAGGAAUUGACAGCAUGGAGUGAAACUAAAUUCUCUAAUGCCUCUCUCCAAAUUAAAAAGGCUCAAAAAGAAACUCAUGGAUAUCACCAAUGGGAACACUGAAUUUUCCAGCAAAGAGGAAUGCCAAGAAAUCAAAGAAAAUAUUGAGCGGCUAUGGCAUCGGGAGGAGUUGUAUUGGGGUAUGAGGUCUCGUAUAAAUUGGCUGCGUUGGGGAGAUAGGAACUCAAAAUACUUCCACGCCACCACUGUCCAACGAAGACAAAGAAACAGAAUCUCUAUGCUGCGCCUUAAUGAAGACACCUGGUGUAGGGACCAAACAACAUUGAAACAGCACAUUGAAGAGUUCUACUGCUCCUUAUACGAAUCAGAGGGUCCCAGAGAGUUUCAGCCUAUUCUAGACAUGUGUCCAACGGUCAUUAACGCACAAAUGAAUGAGAGCCUCCUCACCCCAAUCUCUAUGGAAGAGGUAAAAGAAGCAGUUUUUCAGCUGGGAUCAUUAAAAGCUCCGGGCCUAGAUGGUCUGAAUGGACAAUUUUACCAACAUCAUUGGGAGGAAAUCAAGAUAGAUGUGCUGAAUAUGGUCAUAAACUUCUUUGAAUCAGGUGAGUUCGAUCCCCAACUUAAUAAGACUUACAUAACCCUCAUUCCCAAAGUCAAAACCCCAGAAAGUAUUUGUCAGUUCAGGCCAAUUAGUCUAUGCAACUUCAGCUACAAAAUCAUCUCAAAGGUCUUAGCAAACAGAUUGAAACCAUGGCUUGAUGAGAUAAUAGCCAAUGAACAAAGCGCAUUUGUUAAAGGAAGACAAAUACAAGAUAACAUUUUUAUAGUUCAAGAAGUGUUGCACCAGCUGCGAAUCAGAGAAAGAAAGAAGAAAUCCAAGAAGUUCUCAAACUGGAUAUGAAAAAAGGCCUAUGAUAGGGUGGAAUGGGAUUUCUUAAAAAUGAGUAUGCUGCAAAUGGGGUUUAGUGCAAGAUGGGUUGAGCUGGUAAUGAUAUGUGUUUCUACGAUGACAUUCAGUGUCAAGGUGAAUGGUGAUCAAACCCAGUUUUUUACACCCACACGGGGCUUAAGACAAGGAGAUCCAUUGUCGCCCUACCUAUUCAUCUUAAUGGCUAAUGUUUUCUCCUGGAUGAUGCACAAAGCAAUUGAAGAUGGGAGAAUAAGACUAAAUAGGUAUUGUCCUACAUUGUCUCACCUCCUAUUUGCCGAUGAUGCAAUAAUUUUUAUGGAUGGGACAGUGAGAGAAUGCCAAAAUUUGUCAAAUCUCCUGAACCAAUAUUGUUAUGCUACUGGUCAAGCUAUCAAUCUAAACAAAUCAGGAGUGUUUUUCAGCAAGGGUUGCCCCGCAUCCUUAAAAAGUAAUAUGGCCUAUGAGUUGCGAGUACCUAUUAUUGACAAAACAGGGAAAUACCUGGGAAUUCCAUCUGAUUGGGGACAAACAAAAAAGGAGAUGUUUUCAUGGAUUCUGGCGAGGGUAAACAUGAAGCUGGAAGGUUGAAAAGAAAAGCUAUUAUCUAAAGCUGGCAAAGAAAUAUUGAUAAAAGCUGUGGUACAGGCUCUUCCUCAAUAUGCUAUGUCAAUUUUUAAAAUUCCCAUCUCAGUUUGUAAAGCCAUAGAACAACGAAUAGCAGCUUUCUGGUGGAAACAAAAUGAGUCCAAGAGAGGAAUGCACUGGAAGAAAUGGGAAAUUUUGAAACGCAAGAAAGAUGAAGGGGGUCUUGGGUUCAAAGACCUAAUUAUAUUCAACAAGGCAAUGUUAGCCAAACAAGCCUGGAGACUUUCACAAUCACCCUCAGCUCUAUGGGGCCAAAUCCUGAAAGGAAUAUACUAUCCAAAUGGAGACCUAUGGCAAGCACAUAUAGGACAAAGACCUUCUUGGGGGUGGCGCAGUCUUCUCAUUGGCCGAGACACUUUAGAACCAGAGGUGAGAUGGAUAGUGGGAGAUGGACACAACAUUAACAUAUGGAGAGACAGAUGGCUUCCAAGAGGCGUGAUAGGAGGACCGAAAAACAAGGAUGAUCCUGAGAUAGUAGCUGAACUAAUGAGCGCAGAAAGGAGACUAUGGGAGGAUUCUAAAGUUCAAACGCUCUUUGAUGAACAAAUUGCUCGAGAAAUUCUUGCAACUCCACUCAGUGCUCAAUCACAACCAGAUAAACUCAUAUGGACAGGGAAUCAUUCAGGGACGUACACAGUUAAAAGCGGCUAUAACAGAGUGCGCUCAACAACCAAUCAUCCCGACCCCAACAGUGCAACAACCUCCUAUCAGCCACCUAGAUCCCUCUGGAUCAAACUAUGGGACAUGCCAAUUCCCCCCAAAAUAAAAUUCUUUCUCUGGAGCAUAUGCCAAAAUACACUCCCUACUAAGGAAAACCUCUACAAAAGGUGCAUAUUACCUGAUCCCCUUUGUCCACUCUGUCUCCACCACCCAGAAACAGCAGAACACCUGUUCUUCUUGUGCAAAAAGACAAGGAAAAUAUGGCUGGACCCGCGCCUUAACCUAUAUGACAAAACAAGUUCAGUGACAUGCAUAGACAAGUGGUUUGCAGAGUUCUUGAAUGCAAAAACAGAGGUACCUUCGGCAGAUCUGGUGGCAAGCACGAUCUGGUUGAUAUGGAAACUCAUAAACGACUACAUCUUCAAAUCUCGAGCUCCCAAGACUGAAUCAAUUGUAGAUCUUUCCCACACACAGACCCGAGCCUUCCUCAGAUGGAACCGCAAGAAAGUCAAGCAGAAAUCCAGCAAAUCAGCCGCAACAGAGCACUGGACGGCUCCGAACAGCACCAGCUUCAAGCUGAAUGUCAACUGCUCGUGGAAGGAUGGAGAAGAUCUAGGUUCGGUCACAGGGCUCAUCCGGGACUCGAAUGGAUUAUUGAUCGACGGAUUUGUAGCUGAAAUUCGAGCGGCCUCUCCUCUGCACGCCGAAACCCUAGCACUCCUGCAGGCGUUAAACUCUCUAAACCAACGAACAGAAAGUCAAGUGGGGGCUGUUCAGUUCGAAGACAAAGAUGGGAAGUACAGUGCGACAAUAAUGCACUCGUGGAGGCCAGCUUGGGCCGGGCUGAUGCACCUUGGGCUAUUAUGCAUUUAGUGAACGAAAUCAGAGAGCUCCUUCAGAAGAUGUCAUUCGUCACUCUCGCCUACUGCUCCCGAGACGCAAACCAGGCAGCUGAUUGGACCGCCAAGGCGCAUCGCCGUAAGACUUUACCUACAAAUUGGUUAAAUGCGCCACCUCAACCCCUUCUGAAUAUUUUAUGUUCUGAAGUCUAUUUACCGUCUACUUGUAAUCCGUGUUUUAACUGAAAGUAAGUCUUAUUUUCGACCAAAAAAAAAAAAAAAACAAAGAUUCACAUGUGUAAAAUCUGCUGCGACAAGUGAAAAACAUAAGAGGGCAAAUAAGCUUGGCCAGCCGAAAGCACCAACCACCAAAAAGGUUUAUGGUAAAAAGUGUACUUUACAAAGCAGCUCUAACAUACGGUCCCAAGAAUCAAGCUGGCCUAGAUCAGAAUCGCUUCAACCGGUCAUAGCAAUCAAGCUAACUCAGACCACAAAUUGCGCCAAGCAAGAAGAAUGCUUUGAUUAUGCUAAAAGAGCGAAAAUCUCUAUCUCGAGAGAAUAAGUAGAUUAGUCACCCAUUAAUUGCCAACUUAAAAAACUUCAGCCCAUGCUAUACUGAACUGUACGUAGAUUAGUCACCCCUCAGAAAACCAAAUAACAUAAGAAAGAGGCUAUGAUUUAACGUCACUUAUCAUUUGCGAAAUCCUCUUCUGCUUGAAUUGUGGUGAAGAUAAAGGAAAUCCCGUGAAAGAGAGCGAAAUGAAAUAUUGAGAACCGGGGGCGAUAUUGCUUGGAGAUUAUAAGCCGACCCUUCUUCGUAAAUGUUGAGUGCCAUGCUCCAUUACUAUAUGCAGAAGGGAACAAUAUAGCAUUCGGAGAGAGACCUAUUGGUGCUUUAAUUUUUUUUUUCCUAUUCUUUUUAAACCGAUGCUAAGAAAAGCUGUUAAUUAAAUAGGCUGAACUAACGAUAUGUUGGGAAUUGGGAUUGGGCCCUAAGGCCCACUUAUUCGCCUGCUCAGGCUUGCCCGAAACUUUGGACUUGGGAGAUUCCUCUUCUUUUUUCCCCUGAACGGUGGUUGAAUCUUUCGUUCGAUCUGAGAUCCAACUUGCUAAUCGACCCGCUUCUUUUAUUUGGUUGUAUGAUGAUAUUUACUUACCAGAAAAAUGACGAUACUAAAUGUAAUAACAUUAAUAUAUAGAAUAAGAGAUUAAUGAAAGGUAAAGCUCAAAUAUGUGGAUGGUAAUAUUGAAAUGUUGAAAGGAAGACAUAUGUUGUUCUUAUAAAGUUCUGCAUUUCCAAUUACGACGAACAAGGAAAAAUUGUUGAAAAAAUCUUAAAUUUAUUGCAUUUUUGUCAAUUUAAUUAUAAAUCUUCCAAUUUUGUCAAUUGAAUCUUAAACAUUUUCACAUUUUACCAAUUGAGUCCAUUUGGCUAAUUUUGAUUGGAAUUCGCUGAUAUGAACGUUGGCCGUUCUAUAUGGUAUUAGCGGUAUUGACGUGCACAAUUUGAAUAACAUUUUAAUAUAUUUCUUUUAAUUUUUUUAAAAUUAUUUUAAUUUUAAUAUUUAUUUAUUUAUUUAUUUGUUUUUCACUAUGGCCAUCAAGUUCUUAGACCUCCCUUAGCCGGGCUUCAAAUUUCUCCAUUCUUGUCUUCUGUCAGCAAAAAGUGACCCGCUACUAAGGAAGAAUUCUAUACCUGCGCCACUAAAAGUCAAUCGAUGUACAGGGGACUCUGGACCUUCAGCAUGUUCGUCUCUCCUGCCACGACAGUGCAAAGGACGAUAUUCCCCAUCAUUGAGAAAGAGAGUGAAGAAGGAGAAAAAGAGUCGGGCCUUCACAUCUCAAAGAAUGGCUAAAAUCACAACACCACUGAUUAAGCCCCAAGGCCAGAUUGCUAUGGAGUAAGGAUCAAUGAAUAUUACGUUGGCCAAGUCGUCUAAAUACUCCUAACUGCCGCCAGAAUAUGCCUCGAUAUGGCCAUGUUCAAAGAAACUAUGGCCACCAUAUAGAUGAUUGCGAUGAACUAGGCAAUGAAAUUGGACAAUUGAUCCAAAGAGGGCACCUUACUAAGUACGCCAAGAUGGAGGAGAAGGUGUGGGCUAAUCCUUUCUGGAGAAGAAGUCGACAUGGAGGAAGAGAAGCAGAAAGUUAGUUUUCGACAUGGAGGAAGAGAAGCAGAAAGUUAGACCCAAACUGUCCACCAGCAAAACAUGUCUGUCACACUGUCACAGAGUGUCCAACUAAGUAAGCGCUAGAACCCUCCUAAUAAUGCACAAGUAUCUGUCCAACCUUGAGAAGUAUUAGAAACUAUAAGCUGUGGCCUUUCUCUAGAUGGCAUGGUCCGUUGAUAGAUGAGUACAUUUCAUCUCCGAAGGUUCCAUAGAUGAAAGGCAUCAUUCUUCCUUUUUUUUCAGGUAUCUUCUUUUAACACGCCAAACAAGGAGAGCAAUGCUAGGCAAUAGGGCCAAUAGUGAUGAGGAUGUCAAUCAUUUAAUGAGAGAAUGUGAUUUGUAAGUUAAAAGCCACUCCAAAUGAUCAACACCUUGUGUGGUUAUUUCGAGUACUCAUGUUGGUGGCCUAGCCUAUGGAACUAGGUUGGAUGGUCACAAUAACUUGACAUCGCAUAUUGUGAAAGGAAAAAACUUGAGGGCCUUUAUAGAAAAUUCGUUAACUUUUCACAAUUAGUCAACCUUGAUUUUGCUCAAAAUCGUAACCUUAAACUAAAAUAUCAUAUACAGGUUUAUAAAACCACAUAUAAAUGAGAUUGCAAAAACAUUGAUUAAUCAAGAAAAAUUUCUAUUUGUCUCAAAUUGAUUCUUUAAAAAUAAUUCUAAGCACUAGACAAAUAUUCAAGCUUAUGUGCUCUUUGCAGACCUAGGUCCUCGUAUAAUCCUUUCACAAAAGAUGUUCUAAAAGUAGCACUCUUACUAAUGUCACUAAACACAAAUUGAAAUGAAUCAAUUGGCUUACUACUAAAGUUUAAUGAAGUUCCAAAGAUCCUUAAAGGCAUUCAACUCUCAAAUGGAAAACUAAAUACUGUUAUCAAAUUUUGAUAACAUCAAAAUCUCAAUUUCUUUGAGUCUGACCACAUAAGAAUCUCUCCGUACCUCGGAUACAAGAGCAUAAUAUUUGUAAAAUUGCAAUAAUGUUGAAUAUGAUCAAAUGUCCAUCAACCUUAAUAUGUGCCUCAAGUACAUGCACAUAAUACAAAAUGAAUUCAUGCCUUGCAAGUCUAAGCAUUUCACGAAAGAGAUAUCACAUGCAUACCACUAAGCUUAUUCACUUACACUUAGUAACAAGAUGUAGUAGAAAAACUGUGUAUGACGAGCUCACAUACUUGUUAGGCCGUGAAGAUGCCACAACUUUAGCAAAGAAUUUAUUUUAUAAAAUUCUGUCUUAUAUUAUCAAAAUUAUUUAAGUCCUUCAUAUUUCAAUUAAACAUUUCAAAGGAGACAAUCGAACAAAACCUUUAAGAGUUAAUGGUGUUUUUUUUUUUUUUUUACAAACUCAUCUUUAGGUCGUGAGGUGGAGAAGGCAACAAACAAGUAAGGCGUCUCACUGCAUUGCUCAAAUCCCCAACGUAUAAAAUACAAUAAUGCUCUCUUGGAUGUGAUUGGCGAAAAAUACAAAAAAAUCUCCAACCUAUCAUAUUUGUGCCAAUUCAAUUUUAAAUCUUUUAAUUUGACCAAAUUAGUGUUAAACUUUUUUAUAUUGAUACCAAUUCAGUCUAUCUAAUCAAUUUAGGCUAGAACUUGCUACACGGAUAUCAACCACACUAUAUGGCAUAGCUAACGCUAACAUAGACAUAUUUUUAAUUUUUAAAUAUUUUUUCGAUUUUUGUAUUAAUUUUUUUAAAUUCUUUUUUUUUCCCUUCUCUUUUCUAUGGCUUGGGAUACAAGGCCAUGGCCAACAACUAGCCACAAGUAAGGGUUGGUAAAGGCAUUGCUGCCCUGGCUGAGACCACGAGGGUCUAGCCCUCGCUGGCACUCGUUUGUGGCUGGUAGGGAAGAGGAGGGGAAAAAGAAAGGAAAAAGGGAAAAAAUUAUAAAAAAAUUAUAAAAAAAUUCAAAAAAAAUUUAAAAAAUUAUUUAUGCCAUCGUCAAUCGUGCCACAUAGGAUUGCCAACAUUCACAUUAGCAAUUUCGGGUCAAAAUUGGCUAAAUAGAUUGAAUUGAUACUAAUGUGAAAUGAUUUAUGACUAAAUUGAUUUAACUAAAAGGUUUAUGACUAAAUUGAUAUCAAUAUAAUAGGUUGUGACUUUUUUUGUUCUUUUCCUGAUGUAAUCAUAUACCAUGAGAUGAUAAACAUCCCAUUAAAAAAAAAUGAUUUUUGAGUGCCGCAUGAGUCUCAAUUAGUGAAUCUACUUUGGUGAUCAAACACACACAUCACCAUGUGUAAGUAUUCUCAAAACUGGGAUGUAAAGGAUAGUCCACAAUUACCUGAGCAAUUCUGCGGAUCUCAAUAUGUGAAGCAUUGUGGUGCUCAAGCACACAUUGAAUCAUGUGAAAUUUCCAAAUAAAAAUGCUCAAAUAACAUAUGAAAAUUUUUUGUGACAUCACAAGUAAGUCACUUGGGUAACCAAAUCAUUCAUGUUACGAGAUGAGAUUUCUUGUCUCUUCAUCUAAGUUGAAACAAAGACGUAAAAUAACAUGGUCCUUAAAAAAUCUCAUCGUGCUAGUUCGAAGAAUAAAUUUUUUAUGGUAGCAUACUUAAAAAAUGACCCCCAAAUAUUGUACUUAAAAGAUAAAUAUUUUCAAAGAACAAAAUAUUUUUUUUUCAAAAGUAUCUAGUUUCUCAUAUCAAGGUAAUUUCGCAGCACCUGACUUUUAGAAAAUUAUGCCUGAAUACAGUUUAUCUCGAUUUUUCUAAGCGAAAAUGUACCAAGACUGCCUAUAAAGAAACAAGGUAUAGCAUGUGGAGCAUAAUUGAAAAAACCGCACUGAAAACAGAGCCCAACAGUCAUGUCACGGGCCCACCCGCACUUCUUUUGCGCGUGGGGUUUGCUAUGAUGGGCUACGAUCUUCUACAUAGGUGUCGAUCCCACAUCAGUCCCCAAUGUUUGAUUAGAUCAUCUAGGAAAAUUUAUCACACAUUUAAUUUGUUUACAUGGGUGUCAAUAAUGAAAUAAAUGCACUCAAUUAUAACUCAUAGAAUGCAUGGCGAAAUAACUUAAUGCUUAGCCCUUUCACUUCUUUUUCGUUUGUUCUUUCUAUAUUUCGAGAGCUCAACUCUCAUUAACAUGAAGAAGAUGGUGAACAUGUCAUUAAGUUGUGCAAGGCUAUCGUACCAAAGGAUGGGUCAUAUAACACAAACAUCCAGUACAAAAACCACAGUAUAAAAACAUUAAAGCCUAGAACCAAAGCCACAGAGGAACCAAAAAAAAAAAGUAAAAGAAAAUUUAGCAGUUCCCCUCAAGCAGUACCGUUGUCUCUUCUGCUUAAUCAUUUUUCCACGGUCUUGAGUUGAUGAUAAUCUCCAGAAUAAAAAUGGCGGCAGAAGCUAUCCUCCCACUUCCACCUACCAAACACAACACGUCAGAAGUUCUCAUUAGCUAUCUAUACAUAUUCAUACAAGAGUAGAUUUUGCGCUACGUGCAUGCAUAUUUCUCCCUUUUCUUACGUAUAUAUAAGUGAAUGGAGAAGUAUAUUAUUUUCUCCAUUCAGAAAUUCAGUGGGUGCGAAAAUGCCAUCCAUGAAUAAACCCUAAAGGCAACAUGGAAGAAGCAAAAAUGAAAGAAAAAGGCAAAAGCAUACCAAUGAAGCAUUUCAAAACUCCGAAGAGCAGAACCUCGGGUCCAAUGAUGACCAGCUGUUUAGCGACUUUUUCCGCCAUGGAAAAAACGCUCUUGCUCCAGCACAACGUUGUCAUACCCGAGGCCACCUGCCUCAUCUUACCAACGACGGUUUUCAGCAGCUCAACCACCCUCUGCAUCGUCGUUGGCGAUCUCUCUCUCUCUCCCCGUUUCGUUUCGGAUUUUGUGAAGCAAAAUGAAUGCGAUGGGAGUCGCCGAGUGUGGUUCGGGGACGGUUUUUGUAGCGGAUUUUUUAAGAAGCAAAAUGAGGAAAGGAUUCGGUGGUUCGUUUUUUAAAAGAGAGGAGUAUGAGAGAUGGGGACUCUUUGAUAAAGUACAACCGAUCGUGAGCUUCAAAGGUGAUGACUUUCGGUGGCUGGGGAAUUCAAAAGGGGAGAUUUGAGUGGGGGUUGGUAAAGGAAAAUCAGAAUUAGACAAGAUUAGAAAGCUGUGAGAGAAGAAAAAGCUUGAGAAUCAAAAGGUGUAGGAUUCAUCUUUCACGCUAUUUAAUAUGAAAUUUGCUUUAUUAAACCCCUUCAUAUGAACUUGUCAGGGGCUGAAUCAGGUCGCCUGGUUGUUCUCCUUGCGUGAUGGUAUUGGACAGAGUAUGUUUCAUCCAUGUUCGGUCCCUCGAAGUAUCCCGGACUGACUUCGUUGUUGUCUGCAUGAUUUUGCUUCAUCCAGUACGUUUCUGUUGCGUUAGAUUUGCUUUUACAUGUGUAGUUUGUUAUUUACGGUUUUCGGAAGUAUUCUCAUCGUCGUUUUCUACGUAGUGUUGGCCUUUAAACUGCGCUUUCGUCCACCCUAAAAGUUUGGAUCUUUUUAGCUUUCUGGUCAUGCAUAUAGCUUUACUUAGCUCAUAAGCAUUCAAUUAGCUGUUUUUUUACUCGCAAGCACUUACUUAGAUUAAAUCAGAAUAGUCCUGAAAACAAAUCGUAAAUGUAUAAUACAAAAGUCUGGAUGGCAUAUUAGAUUAUUAUUAAUUUACAAGAUUAGUUCAGUCAGAAUUAAUCCGGUUUCAUCUAGUGAAGUAUUGAUCUUUGUCACCUAGAUUAGGAAACUCAUAUCUAUUAUUUACUAUGCAUAGCUCAAGGGAAUCCUGUCUUACAUAGCGAGACAUUGUAUAUGUGUAAUGUUGCCUGGUACGGUUCGGGUUAUUUCUUUCUUCAUCUUUUACUUUCUUUGUUAUUAUUUAAUUGUUUUUAUUUUUUGAGUCUCCGUACAUGAAUACUUAGAUUUCCAUUUCUCCUAAAAAAACCAAAAGGAAAAGGUACCCAUGACCAGAAUUACAUUUCUCUAGCAUCACAAAGUCCCCGGCUUUAUGAAUAUCUAGUUCGUAGAAAUAAGCGAUCUCCCACAUCUUACUCAGCUCCUAACAUUAUUGGCGACUCUAGUUAAAAUCGAUCAAAUAAUUAAUGAGAAACUAAGGCCCUGUUUGGUAACCAUCCAAAUAGGGCCAAAUUCUGAUUCUUUGUUCCCGGAAUCAGUUUCGGCUUAGAAUCGUGUUUGGUAAAAUUUUUGUUCCCGGGAACAGAUUGGGAAUAGAAUCAAGAAUAAAAAAAAAAGUUGAUUCUUGUUUCGGGAACGAAUUUGAGAAUCAAAAUCAAUAAAUUUUCUUCUUCCCUUCGGCCAUCUCGCGACCGCCGUCCACCACCGCCCGCCACCGUCCGCCACAGCCAUCCACCGCCGCCGCCGUCCGCCGUCGCCGGCCGCCGGUUCGGCGAGCUCGCCGGAGGCUCGCCAGACUAGGGCGAGGUCCGGCGAGCUCGCCGGAGGCAAGCCCAGUCACCGACGAGCUCGCCGAAGGCAAGCCUAGCCACCGGCGAGGCUCGGCCUCCCCAGAUCUGGCGAGGUCGAGCCUCGCCGGGACUGGGCAAGGGCUGGGCGAGCCUCGCGACGCCCAGCCCCACCGGUGGCCAGGCGAGGCUCGCCCAGGCUCGCCCGAGGCAGGGCAAGCCUCGCCCANNNNNNNNNNNNNNNNNNNNNNNNNNNNNNNNNNNNNNNNNNNNNNNNNNNNNNNNNNNNNNNNNNNNNNNNNNNNNNNNNNNNNNNNNNNNNNNNNNNNNNNNNNNNNNNNNUUCGAAAGUUCAAGGACUAGAUCGGACAUUUUAUCAAUAGUUCAGGGACCAAAUUGAGCCAAUCGAAAGUUCAGGGACGAAAUUGGACAUUGAGUGAAAAUAUAGGGACUAUUUGUGACAUUUUCCCUAUGUUAUACUUUCUUGAAUCCACCUCAAGAUGGUCACAAUAUGCUGAAACAAAACUCAGUUCUACAAUUGAGACCGGAAUGACGUCUUGUUUGUACUUAGGGUGCGUUUGGGAAGACUUUUGGGGAAAGUCUUUGGGAAAAUGCAAAGGCCUUUGAGUUAAAUGUGUUUUUCAAAAUGCAAAUUGUGUUUGGUAAAUUGUAAUUUAAAAGCCCUUUGUGAAGUACCUUUGAGCAAAAUGGUGUUUGGGGGACAAAGGACUUUUGUGAAAAAAAAAAUAUCAAAAGAAAAAUAAAAAAAAUAAAAAAAUGAAAACCAGCAAGGGCAGGCGGCAUCCGGCGGCCGGCGGCGACCCCCGGCGACCCCGGAUCUGGGCCCGCAAGGUCGCGCGACGCCAUCACGACCUCGGAUCUGGGCGGACGAGGUCGCGCGACGCCGUCGCGACCUCCGGCGACCUCGGAUCUGGGUUGGCGAGGUCGCGCGACGCCGUCGCGACCUCCGGCGACCCCGGAUCUGGGCCGGCGAGGUCGCGCGACGCCGCCUCGACCUCCGAGAACCCCGAUUGGCUGUCGCGAGGCUACGCAACCCUCGCCUGAGGUCGGGGGACCUCGGCGAGGGCCGCACCUGAGGUCAGGGGACCUCGGCGAUGGCCGCGCCUAGGUCGCGCGACCUCGGCGAGGGUCGCAUGACCCCGAUCGGCCGUCGUCGAGGCUACGCAACCCUCGCCUAAGGUCACGCGACCUCGGCGAGGGCCGCGCCUGGGUCGCGCAACCUCGCCAGCGGUCGCGCGACCUUGCCGGUGGUCGCGCAACCCGAGUAGCUCCCGCCGGGGCCACCCUCGACGGAGAAGAUGAACAGUACUCCUCACAAGGGCAAAAAACGGAAAAACAAAAAAGUUCGUAAGGAUAAUGUUGGAAAAAAAAAUAUAUAUAUAUAUAUAUAUAUAUAUAUAUAUAUAUAUGAACAGUAACCUCAGCUUACCGAGAAAGCUGAAAUACCCACCCCUGCCUUGGGCUUUCAGCCUUCAAAAGGCAAGUUUUGAGCUAAAGAUACUUGCAAAUUUUUUUGCCAAACACCCAUUUUUAGCCCAAAGGGCUUUGGAAGCCUAAAGUGGCUUGGAAAAGCCAAAUCCAAACGCAGCCUUAGAACAUCAAGACUUUCCUAGAAAAUUGACAAAUGUUUUGGAAAACUCAAGUCACUUUUGAUUUCCCUACUCGGGCCUUAAUUGAAAUUUGAAGAAGUUGGGAGACUAGGAGUUAACUCGCCCACGUCGGGAAUAUAGUUCCUGUUUUUUUUCCCCUUUAUCUUUUGAAUUUGUGAAUAAAGUUCCAGUUUUUAAUUAUGUUCAUCCCGUUAUUACAUAGCAAUGGGAUUCUCACCGCAUCUAGUGGAACAACAGUGUCAAAAAUGGGUCCAUGCCCCAACUAAGCUGUGACAUCCUGAAAUUCGACCCCGUUUCGAUAAAGUGAAAUGAGCAUUUCGUCGGCGUGCCUAUGGCCCUUUUUCUCUGAGCUGAUCACUCACGAGUUAACUAACCUAUUGGGUAAAGCCGUUAAGGGAUGUAUCAGCUGUAAAAUCCCUAAAAGCUACCUAAUUAGUUGGAUUUGGCUAAAAUCACGUCUGAUCGAUUCUUAACCACGAAAUUGAACUCGAUUUCGGGAAUCGAAUUUUAAGCGCGUCAUAAUUCUUAUUUUUAGGAUCAUGUCUCAUCGCUCGUCAAUUUAUUGACGGGUCCGAAAUUUCAAUAAAGAAAUUAUCAGAAGAAAAUUGAAGCCCGAAAGGAAAUAGAUUGAGAAAGAGAAAAGAAAAGAAAAUAAGAAUAAGUGUUAUUUUUAUUUUUCUUUUUCCUCUCUCUCCCUUUCUUUUCUUUCUCUCUCCUCUCCCCUCUCCCUCGUGCGAAUUCCCCACCGCCCAUUCCCUCCCUUUCUCUUUCUUUGACCGGUCAAUGCUUAUCCCUUCUCUCUCUCUCUCUCUUCUCUCUCCUCUCUCUUCUUUCUUCCCUUGCACGACAGAACCGGCUCCUUUCUUCUCCUUCUUUCUUCUUUCUUCUUCGCGGAAACCAGAAGCGGAAGAAGACCAGAAGUUGCAGCUCCGUCGCCGUCCCGCCGCCGCACCGCCGCCGCACCCGCGCCGCGCCUGUGCGCCCGCCGCCGUCCCGCCGUCCGUCGCUCGCGGCCGCUCCUCCCUCCGCACGAACCAGCCGCUGUUCGCCUCUGUCCAGCCCCCGUCCGGCCACCUCCGGCCACCGCCUAGCCCCGCCGGACCACCCCCGCGACCCCCUCGCCCUCCGCCGGCUUCCCCUUGCCGCCCUAGCCGCCGGAGCAGCCCCGAUCGGCUCCGUCUAGCAGACCCACGGAGUGGGUUUCAGCAUCUUCGGGCCCGCUUUUGGGCCGUUUCCCAGCCCCGGAUCCGCGAGUCGCUUUGGGAACAAUCGUUCCUCGCGUCGCCGCCGUCGGAUUGAUCCGAUUUGCGCGCGAUUUGGUGAGUAAUCUCACUAAUCCUGGAUUAGUUUGCUAAUUAUGCUUAAGGUUGGUUUAGAUUUAAUGAAUUAUGUUUAGGUUGUUAGAUUUGAAUAAAUUAGCAAUUAUUAGUUAAUUGUGAUGCGAUUUAGAUAACUUGAUUGCGUAAUUAGCAAGUAGACGUGGUCUACUAAUUAUUGGAAGUGCCUCGGGAAUUUUCCCGACCCUUAGUGGGCUCCAAUUAGGCUUUUCCGGCCUAAGUGGAAUUUUUUAGUAUUUAAUUAUUAAUUUUCGGAAUUACAUUAAAUAAUUAUUUAUUUUCCGAAAAUUCAACUGAGAUGGCCCGGGAUCGGAAUAGUAUGCUGAUGACUGUGGUGAAGUCCGUUUAUUUAAUCGGGCUUUAUUUUGAGCUAAAUUGAAUUUUUAAUAUUAAUUUUAAUUUUCGAAAUUUAUAAAUUAAUUAAUUAUUUUUCGGAAAUUAAGAUUUUGAUGGCCGACGACCGAAAUCUCGUGCUGAUUGUCGUGGCGCAGUCCGUUUAUUUAUUUGAGCUCUACGUUGUAUGGAAUUGAAUAAAUUGUGAUAUUUUAGGGAUUUACCCUAAAUUGAUUGGAAUUGAUUGUGAUUGAAUUGUUGAUUGGUAAAUGGCCAAGUAUGUUAUUCAGUAUUUUAAUGCUUUGUUGAGUUGAUUUAAUUAUUUGAUUGAGAAAUCGUUGGGCGUUGGUUAUUGGUGUUGAAAGUAGAUUGGUGACCACUUGAAAGAGGACACGUGGGCCCGGUGAAUUGGAAUGUCACCUGGAGAAUGCACGUGAGUUUAGUGGUUGAAUAUGUCACCUUGGCGAAAAGGUCGCCUGAGAGAAUGCACGUGGCUCGGUGACAGAGGCUGGCAUCUAAAAGGGCACGUGGGCUCGGCGAAUUGAUGCAUCGCUUUGGUGAGAUGCACCUAAGAGAAUGCACGUGGGCCCGGGCAUCUAAAAGGGCACGUGGGCUCGGUGACUUGAUGCAUCACUUUGGCGAAAAGGUCGCCUGAGAGAAUGCACGUGGCCCAAGGUUCGAGGCACGUGAACUCGGAGACUUGGAAUGUGAUGCAUCANNNNNNNNNNNNNNNNNNNNNNNNNNNNNNNNNNNNNNNNNNNNNNNNNNNNNNNNNNNNNNNNNNNNNNNNNNNNNNNNNNNNNNNNNNNNNNNNNNNNNNNNNNNNNNNNNNNNNNNNNNNNNNNNNNNNNNNNNNNNNNNNNNNNNNNNNNNNNNNNNNNNNNNNNNNNNNNNNNNNNNNNNNNNNNNNNNNNNNNNNNNNNNNNNNNNNNNNNNNNNNNNNNNNNNNNNNNNNNNNNNNNNNNNNNNNNNNNNNNNNNNNNNNNNNNNNNNNNNNNNNNNNNNNNNNNNNNNNNNNNNNNNNNNNNNNNNNNNNNNNNNNNNNNNNNNNNNNNNNNNNNNNNNNNNNNNNNNNNNNNNNNNNNNNNNNNNNNNNNNNNNNNNNNNNNNNNNNNNNNNNNNNNNNNNNNNNNNNNNNNNNNNNNNNNNNNNNNNNNNNNNNNNNNNNNNNNNNNNNNNNNNNNNNNNNNNNNNNNNNNNNNNNNNNNNNNNNNNNNNNNNNNNNNNNNNNNNNNAAGUGAUUGUGGUUUGUAUAAAAGUUUGGUUAUAAAUUUCAAUAUGAAAAAUAUGGCACUGCUUUUCUAUCCCAUCGUUUUAUUGUCUGGGGAUUUUAACUGCUUCCGCAUGUGCUUAAAAAAUUAAAAGGGUUGGCGAUACAUUGUCCUGGGAUAUCGCUUUAUAAAAUCGACCAAGUGAGACGGAUGUGUGCGUGCCUGAGGAUCGGGGCGUGACAACAGUGUCAAAAAUGGGUCCAUGCCCCAACUAAGCAGUAGAUACUUUCUAUAGCAUUCAACUAGCCCGUGAAUUUACAUCUUAAUAUUAUAUGUGAGGUCUUUUUGUAAAAUAAAGCAAAAUCAGUGAUUUCUACAUGGUGUUAUAUCUCUAAUCUCUCUAGACUAGAAAAUCAUUACUUACGGGACAUUGGGUGAUUUAGAUAGCUUGAGAAUUCGAUGUGACAAUAGUUUAAGACUAAGUUAAAUGACUUGACUCAUCAAAGAUAUGAAAACUAAAAAUGUGUAGUACACAGUUGGUUGAGGCAACACAUUGACCUAAACUAAUAAAUUGGGGUUAAAUUAGUUCUAAACGAAACCAGAGCCCCUAAAUUCUGUUGCAGCCCAACUUGUAGGUCGUGAGGCAAGUUCCUCAAGGAAUGAGAAUUUAUGCGAGUGCAUUUGGUUUGGCAUUCCCAAAUAGCUUUCAGCCUCCAAAGCCCCUUGGAGAAAUAUUGAACUGUUUGGCAACCAUUUUGAAAUAACUUUCAAGUGAAAGUCAGUAUUUGAAAGGUUGAAAGCCCAAUGCUAGUAAAGACUAGCGGUGAGCUUUCAGCAUUUUGCCAAAUGCUGAAACUUAAUUUUUUCUUCCAAAACUAUCCUUACUUAUUCUUCAAAUUUCUAAUGUUGCCCUAAUUAUUUUUUUUAAAUGCCAAAAUAAUGCUAAAAAAAUCAAAUAUAUAUAAAUGCUAAAAAAAUUAAAUAUAUUUUGGUCUUUUUAAAAAAAAUAUUUAUAUAUUUGAACUUUUUAGCAUUUAUAUUUGAUUUUUGAGCAUUAUUGUCAAAAUUUAUAUUUAAAAGUUGCAUAUAUUAUUUUUUUCAAUUUUAAACAAUUAAAAAUUUAAAAAAUUACGACAAAGGGUUUGAUUUCUUAGCAUUAUUUUCAAAUUUAUAUUUAAAAAGUUGCAUACAUUAUUUUCUAACAACUUCAACUCACCCUCUAACGUGAAAUAGAGGGUAGGGAGCAUGGAAUACGAACCGGCUUCUAAUUUGUCCUCUCAGGCCACAGCGCUUCUUGGCAUCACAGUCUUCACUGAAUAAGAUCUAAUCCUUUCCUCCGCAUCGCUCGUUUCCCUUUUCAACGCUUCAACACUCUAUUCAAGAGUCCCAGCUCUGGGUCCUGCUUUUGUGGACUUCCAUACUCUAGGGAGUUCCUGAUGCGAUCAAUUCGAAUGACAUGACAACUCAGUUUCAUGAAUUGAAUGAAGAUUUCUUGCUCCAUUCCCUUCAACAUUUUAAAUGAGUCCAAAGUGAAGUAAGAGAGAAGGGUGGAAACAUUACGGAUCUGUUGCAAAGAGAUGGUUAGUAUUGCGGGUUAGAAAGUGGAUAGCUAUUCAUUAUGUAUUAGUACAUGUAUUUUAUUUACUUUGCANNNNNNNNNNNNNNNNNNNNNNNNNNNNNNNNNNNNNNNNNNNNNNNNNNNNNNNNNNNNNNNNNNNNNNNNNNNNNNNNNNNNNNNNNNNNNNNNNNNNAUUGAAAUUAUUCCUAAUGAGUCGUGGGACAAAUGUCUUAUUCAGUAGCAAUAAAAAGGCUCUGCACAAACUGUAUGGGCACCCCAUUCACCUGUUACUACCAGAAACUUUGCCACGAGUGCGGGAGAUAACUAAAUAUAUUAGCCUCAUUCUUGACUAAGAGAGAUUUAUCUCUUCAUACAGCUAUUUGCAGGGGGAGUCAAGUAAUCAUGGAUUGUAACUAAUGUAACAAACUAUCAUUUAAAAUUGUUAAUGGGCAUUAAUACAGUUGUUAAGUUGCAUUAUAGAUGCCUACAAAAUGUCAAUAAAUUGUGCAAGAUUUUAUACUUAUAGAUGUAAUAUUAACUCUAUUCUUGCUGACACACGUAGCUUAGACAACGCCCUCAUUAGGGGAAGAUCAUCAUAUACAACUUUUAGGUCCCACUCCAUUAACGUACUAUUGAGACUCCUAUUCCUUUAAAAAUUGAAGUAAUUAACUUUUAAGUUCUUUUGACAAAAAGAAAAAGAAAAAGUCCUAAGAAAACUAGUUACAAGAAUCGUCUCCUAAUGACAAUCUUCUACAUGUACUUCAAAAAGCUGCUUACAUGCUUCUCUUUCUAUUUCUUGCAGAGUAAAGGCCACGAAUCAAAAUAGCCAAAUCACUCUCCAAUGAAACCUCUUUUAUCAUUUCCACACUGCAAAAAACACAAGAUAUGUCUAUAUGACUAUCUUGUGAAGCCUUCAUUGAAAAAUUAACCUUUGUAAUCUAUGAACCAUGUGAGAGGGAAUAAAGACAUUGCACAGCCAUAUAUGUAUGCUAUGUUAUAAACAUCUAAUGCAAGCUAGCAAGUGAUGAAUCUGAAGAAAGCUUUAUUACAAAUCAGAUCACAACGUGACACCACUCUAAAGAAUGACGAGUUUAGAUCUCUUGGAUAUCUAUCAUAUUCACAUGUAAACAAAUGAUAGAGCUCCGUUUUACCCAACAUAUGAGAACAUACUUUCUAGUAGUCAAAAAAUUGCAACAUUCCUAACCAGAUGUCAACAGAGUCAGUUCUUCAACAUUAUACCUCUAACCUCAAAAGAGAACUAGUUCUUCAAAUAAAGCCAGAAUGAAGUCAUGCUUUCUAAACAUAACGGCAAGAUAAAAAGUAACUUAAGGGCGAGGAGAGUCAGCAUUUCGUUGACCAAGUAAAGUAGGAGAAAAAAAUCUAACACAGUUUAUGUAGACAUUUUGGGAGACAACUCUCCAGUCUCGACAUAAUGUGCAAGUUUAAAGGAGACCAAAGAACAUAGAAUAGUCCAACAAAAAUCCAUAAUCUUUUCUCUUAAAGCACACAUAGCUUCAAAUGAAAUGCCAAGUGUAACUUACAUUUGUGAAAAGUGUUAAACUUGGUAAGCACAACCUGAAACCUACAACAAACAAACUAACUUCCAGUGAGCAUUGUCAUGAAUAUAAAUUAAAAUGCACUCUAAGAUCCAGCUUUCAUCAUUAGAAAAAAGGAAUCCUAAAAGGAAGUGCCACAAUAUUACUGUCAGAGAUACCGUGAAAUUCAUCUUCAACAUAAAUCCAUUGUGGUCAGUAAGACUCAGGCAAUUGGGAGCCCGAGCCAAAUAUUAGGAAGACGUGAGAAAAUAGAUGGCACAAGAGUUAUGGACUUCAACCCCACACAACACAAAAAAAUCCACCAGAAAAGCAAAAGAACUCUUAGGGAGACAGACCUCUUAGGAUACUGAAAACUGCAAAAUGAAGAGUUGACUAAUCACUAUUAAAAGAAAUAGUUUCCACUUCUUGUGCAAUACAUAAGCAUAAAUCAAUAACUGAUCAAUUGUGGUAGAACACUGAGAUAUUAUUGUGUUCUUAUGACAACCAAUUUCUAUUACUAACAUCUAUUCAACUUGGACAACACAUACCACAAAUAAAGUAAUCUCACUAAGUACUGUCAAUUUGUUGAAGAGAUCCAGCAAAAUUGUAAGAGAACAUUCGGUGAAGUCGAAUUUCAUCCAGAGAUGAAGAAGCUUUUGCUGCAUCUCAUGGACCCGAUGAAGAGACAGAAAGGCUCUAAGAAUGUAAUAGAGGACAAGAAUUGAUGGGACUUUUCAAAAAAUGACCAACUUUCAAUUCCAAAUCACAAAAAAGGAGGCAGGGAAGGUACCUUUCUUUUGUUUAGGGGGCUUCUUUUCUUUUACCAAGUGAUACUUACUUCUCUAAGGCAGGUUUCUUUUAUUUUACCAAGCAGUACUUCCUUCUCUCUAAAUGCCGCAAUUUCUACCUCUCUUUGCGAGAGAGAUGGAAAGUAGCUAUUUCCAAGGCUCUGGGUUCUCACUUAAUUUAAUUCUGCAGAAGGGAUAUCUUACUUGUGAAUAGCUUCCUUUUUUAUGGUGGGAUCAAAGCCAUAAGGAAAGUGAUAAUACUCAAUUCUCAACAGAAAUCCCUGCAUGGAGCCAGUGGAUGGCAAUGCCAUCCAAUGCAAGAUUUCCUCCCAAGUCUCCAACUUUCCACACGCCCAACUCAUACAGCUGAGAAAUACUUGAACUCCCUUGGCCUCCUAGAGAAAACCAAAGCUGAUAAAAAAAAAGCCAUGGAUUCCACAUGAAUUCAUUGUCUAUUACAUCAUAAAAGCAAGCACAUAUUAAAUAGUGCUUGUGUUAGCUAAUCCACUCUCAUCAAUGCUUAACAUAAUGAGCAAAUUCAGGAUCUUUACAGGUUCAUGACAGGAGAAAUAAACUUAUGCUCUCGCUACCAAUAAUCCCCACAAGAGCAUAUGCCACUCCUGAAGUGAUGAAAGCGGCUGGAAUCUCUCACAACAAUCUAACGAUCAACAAUCUUUGCAAUCAGUUUAAUUGCAGAAUGACAAUCCCCACAAAUGCGAAGAUUCUUCAUACAGUAUCGUACUACCCUCGACAGUAGUAAUCAAUGCAAAUGCAAUAGCAAGCCUUUUACUAUGGUAAAAUAAUGACUCUUCCUUCUGUUCAUCUUCCACGUCAUGGAGAGAGAACCUCUUAUCUGGAAGAUAACCCAAUUCCUUCAACUUCAUAUUCAACCAAUCCAGCUUCCAAUAUAUGUUCUCACUCAAAGAGUGGGAUUUAUCCCCGGAAAGAAAUAAAUGCUUUUGCCCCUUUAUAGUAACCCAACUUCUACCUGGUUGCUUCACAAUCCCUUUAUCCCUCAUAGUCACUCUUAAUCGCGAGACAUCACCCCAUCUAUUAGUAGAAGCAUAGAAGUUGGACAGUAAAACAUAAGCAGCACUACAAUGUGGUUCUAGGCCAAGAAUAUAGUUUGCAGCUCUAUCUGCCAAAUCUAGGUAGAACGCAUCCUGCAAGAACUAAGCAAAGCAAACCACACUAUGGAGUUAGUUUUAAGGGGCAUGUUUCUUACAAAGUCCUCUGCUUCCUCUAGCUUCCCACAUCGUCCUAGAACAUCCACCAUACAUGCAUAAUGCUCGUGUUUCAAUUCGAUAGAAGUGUUCUCACUAAAAUAUCUGAACAAGCAUCUCCCCUUUUGUAACAUCCCAGAAUGACUACAUGAAGAAAGCAGUCCCGUGAGUGUGAUCUCAUCUGGUUGUACUAGUCCGCGUAUCAUUUGGCUAAACAACUCCAUAGCCCACAUCCCUCGGCCAUGUUGUGCACACCCGCAAAUAAUGGCAUUCCAGGUGACGAUGUUCUUCUCCUUGAGUCUUUUGAACACUACAACAGCAUCAUCAACAUCCCCACACUUACUAUACAUGACUACAAGAGAAUUGCCAACAAAUACAUCACUUCCCAAUUGCAGCUUUACAGCUAAAGCAUGGACCUCCUUACCUCGAUAUAGAGACUCUAAACUACAGCAAGAAUUUAGAGCGCUUACAAAUGAAGAUUGAUUAGGAAGAACACUUGUUCUCAUCAUGUCAUUGAACACCUUCAGGCCAUCUUCAUGCCUGCCAUUCAAGCCAUAACCAAUUAGAAGAGCCGUAAAUAUGACCACAUUCCUAUGCACUGCUUCAUCGAAGACUUGGGUUGCUUUCUCAAUUCGCUUGCAGUUAGCAUAGAAUGUGAUAAGAGAAGCACAUACAAAUACGCUAAGGCAGAAUCCUGACUUGAGAAAGUGACCAUGAAUCUGCAUGCCAAGAGGAAAAGACAAUGCAUUUGCACAGGCACUCAAUGCACACGUCAAAGUACUCGGAUUGGGCACAACACCAUACUUGAACAUUCUCUCAGAUACAUUUAAAGCUUCUUCACUCUUACCGUUUUGGUCAAGCCCGCCAAUCGUCAAAGUCCAUGAGAUCACAUUUCGGGAAGGCAUUUGCUCAAACAAUUUCACAGCAUUGUCCACUCUAGCAUUCUCACAAUACCCAUGAAUCAUUGCAUUCCAUGCAGCAAGAUCUCUUAUGGGCAUCUGCUUGAAAAAUACCUCUGCCCGCUCAACCUGUCCAAAUCGAAAGAACCCAUUUAUCAUCGUUGUCCACGAAACAACACUUGGUUCAGGCAUUUCAUCAAAAAGCUCUUUCGCCGUUGUCAAGUCCACGCAGUCCAAGCAGCCUUUGAUCAUCGUGUUCCAGCAAAUUGCAUCUCUCACGGGCAUUUCGUAGAACAGUUUCAGGGCGUCAUCAAGGCGGCCAGUUCGCAAGCGACCCAUAAUCAUCUUUGUAAAUGAACGAACAUCUGGGCAUUGAAAUUUGUCCAGAACCUCCCGAGUUUCAUCUGGGUUUUCAUUCCUAAGGUGUCCAGAGACUGUAGGACCAUCACAGGUCGCAUGACUCGCAUGUCUGAAGAAGCGCUUGGAGAGAUGGAUGCAGGAUUCGGAUGAACUGAGCCAUGAAGAAGGGAAUGAACGUGUGCAAGAGCAUCUGAGAUUUGGGAAAACGGCAUGAAAUCUCAUCAUGACUGCAGGCUCCUCUGCUCCUGUCGUCCCCGUGGGCAGGACACGCAGGAUGUUAUCCGGUUUCUUCUUGCCGCAAUAACGUUCCCAUCCUCAAUAAUCACACAGCUGUUCAAUCAAAGAGUCCAAUCUGAGAUCAUUCACUAAUUAAGACUGAAAUACGAAUCUUCUUAAUUAGAAAAUAAAGUAACAUAUAUGCAACGCACCUGGUUACUGAAAACCAGUGUCUUACCCAACUGGAACUUCAAGGCUGUCCAACGCAAGCUUUGCCUUAUAUAAGAAAGGAAAUAGAUCUUGUUACUUGUUAGGAGAAAAAAAAUAUGAGAAUAAGAGUCAAAAUUCUCUCAUGCAUGCAUGCAUAAAGGCAAAUUCAAGAGGAAAUUGGCAUCACGUUGCCGGCAGUAAAAAUGUUUCAGUAUCAUUAUGCAGCUACCAAUGGCACAAAUGCAUGUCUCACCACAUACUCAUCCUGUAAUACAGAUGCAAAUCCCACCUAACAGUUAAACCGAUACAGCUCUAGCAACAGCACAGCAAAAAUGAGAACUAAUUUGAGAAACUACAUGUUGCUCAGUUUAGUGUGUCUUAUCAUGGGUACCUCAUUUCUUUCGUUAAUGAGGUUUCACUCAAACAUUCAAGAAGCUUCCUGGUGUUUUUAGCUUCUAGGUCAUUUUCCUUUACAAAUGCUAUGGCAUAUAAGGAUGAAGAGAGAUCCCUGUUGUGAAGCCCUCGCAAAUCAGAAUUGACAAUCAGCAUCUUGGGAUUUUGUCUCUAUUCCACUGAAUAACUUAUGUAAACUCUGUGUUUCUCGUGAUUUUUUUCUUUUUCCAUAUCCACACCACAGUGCCAAAGAAAAUAACCAUUCAACCAAUUAUCCAUGGGUACAACCGAUGUUCACAUUAUUCUCGUGCUCCAAGUAAAUUUGGUUUUAAUUUUCCCUAGGUGCUAAAGUCAAAAGGUGGUAAAAGGAUUGCACCGUCAAGCAAACACCUUUACUGGUGGCUUGCCAUCUCAUUGCAUCUUCUUCAUUCCUCUCUAGUUUUGCCUCUUCAAAAGCCUUAUGAAACUUAACACAGAGUCCUAUCCCAGUGAUCGAAGCUUUUGACAAUUUAAUUGUCCUGGCAAACCUAUCACCCGCUGCCCAUCUUUAUAAUAGGCACAUACUACACAUCCACAUUUCCUAGACAACUCAAAAGCACCCAAAUCCAUCCCUCCCUCCCUCUCAACCUACACCACCCGGAUUGACUCCAUUUUUUGCCUGAAAUGGGGACUAAACCACCCCAUGUACACCCAACUUCCCUUUGUUGCACUCGGCCUUGCUUGUUUUUCCUUUAAACCUAGACUUCACGUACUUAUUUCAAUAAAGUACCACCUAUGAAAAGAGAGAAAGAAAACCUAUACCUUCUAGGGAUUGUUGCUGAUUUUGCUGCAUGUAAUGUCGAUUACCAACAGAUGCACUACCAAGCAUCCACAGACAACACUUACAAAGAAACACUCAUUCAACGUCUCUUGUCCAAAUUCAACUUCAAGUUCCCAUGCAAUUAUAGCACCAAAGGAAUCAGACUCAAACUUCAGCUCAAGUAUUUC